This 47481-nucleotide long non-coding RNA is filed under the name Sorghum bicolor (sorghum). RNAcentral describes it as "long non-coding RNA (SBIC_LNC012060)". Lineage: Eukaryota; Viridiplantae; Streptophyta; Magnoliopsida; Poales; Poaceae. The record is from RNAcentral.
CUCUUGAUGAUUCUGAUGUUGGCUUUGUCAAAUAAUGUCUUGAAUUUGUUGUUCCUGCAUAAACAAGCUAAGAGUACAAGUGGAACUAGUUAUGGAUAAAAUAUGUUCAUGUCAUGUCGUUUCCCCUUGCAACCGAGGCAUGUUGACGGUGUUUUGUAUGUGGAUUUCUAUGGUAUAUCCACCGUCAACAAUCUCUGCCUUGUCUCUAUGAAUAGGUACACUUCAAACAAAACAUGGAGGAGUUUUACAACUCCCAGAUUCCACCAAGUGAAGAACCGGGAUCUACGAGCACAAACACAAUGGAGAUAAGACACUUAGUUUCCCAAAGGAAAUAUUGAAGAACCUCUGUGUCCGAGUUGGUACCUUGUACGCUCCAGCAAACUUCGUGGUGAUAGAGACUGGUACUGAGGAGAGGGCACCCAUCAUCUUAGGGAGGCCAUUCCUAAACACCAGAGCUGUCAUCUAUGCUAAUGCUACCAAGAUCAGUCUCUACAUCAAAGGGAAGAAGGAGACUUUCCUUCAAGAACAAGACUACACAAACUUCAGAGCAAUCCUAACAUGAACCAAGGAAGAGGACCAACAGGAGGAACAAGAACAAGCAAAUGUGGACCGAGUCAGCUGAGAUGGUCACUGCAGCUCAAGGAGGUCAAGAUCGUCGACUCAAGUCACCUUUCUUGAUCAAGAAGGACAAUCCUGGUGUUCCAAGCAUCGAGUGCACAAUCAAUGGAAACUCUUUUCAGAAGACACUCUACAACAUCGGAUCUAAUGACAACAUAAUGGCCGCAGUCACUUAUCAGCUCCUGCAUGGAACCAUGCUCCUACAACCAAUAUACAUUCGGCUCCAGGUAAUUUUCAGGUCAUUAACAUGGGAGAAGACGAGUAUGAUGCACCCACCAUCCUCGGAAGACCGUUCCUCAACACUAUCAAAGCAAUCAUCUAUAUUGGAAUCGGAGAAGUCCACAUACACUUCUCCUCUGAGAAGGUAUGCCACUAUUUUACUGACCUUAACUAUAUAGUUGAAGACUCUAAGCAGGUCAGGACAAGAAGAAGACAACGCAACCGCAACCAGAGGAGGCAAAUCAUCAAGAACGGAUGGGUAGACUACGAAGGAGAAGUGAUAAGGUCUGAAGACAUAUAGCUUGAACAGAACUGUCCUGAGGAGACCGUAGCACCGAGUCAGGUGUAGAGAGAGAAGAUAGUUAUAGCCGCCGGAAUCACCGACUACGCCACCUAGCGAAUCCCAGGACGACUGAGAAAACGGAGAGUCCCGUUCGUAGGACUUAAAAACACCAAACGCCUUGCCAAGAGGUAAACUUGGUAGUUAUCCUUUUCCUUUCAAUUAUUCAAUUAUAGUUUGCUUAGUUAAUCAGGUUCAUGCUAUCUUGAAAAGAAAAUAAAAAUGUUAAAAAAAUAGUAAGCCCCAUGUGAGUAUGCUCAUGACAUAAAACCCAUAAGUACAUUCAUUGUGGUGGCAUAAAAAUAAAAUAAAUAAGUUUUCAUCUUACAAUAAAAAUAUAAAAAUAAUAAGUGCAUGAUCCUGCUAAAUAAGUAACAUUUAUUGAGGAGGCUCAACAUGAUAAAGGCUAGAUAUUUAUGCUAACACUUAACCAGUUCCACAAAGCUUUGUUGUCUAUUUGAGCUCCACAUAAUUCAAGGAUCAAAGAAGACUAGCAGACGGAGGACAUCCUAAUCGCUGUUAGGGUGCUGCCGACUUUCAAAUACACCUCCAUCACCUGCUAGCUACAUCAGAAGAAAUUACGUCAAAAUCCAGCUUGGAGGAGAGCACCCCAUUUAUCCAGCUAAGUAUUCUACUCGCGUUUAUACUUUACUCAAAUAAUAAAAAGAUGCAUAAUCAUGAAAAAACAAAUAAAGAUUUUUGUGCUUUUAUAUAUAUCUUUGCUUAGUUUGCUAAAUAAAUAAAUAAAGUUUGCUAUGAACCCUCAUGAUAAACUCUCACAUGGAAAUGAUGAAUAGUUGCUCUGCCAUGACUAGUUCUUAAAAUUAAAAUCUCUCUCAAGUUUAGGCAUAACUGUUAUAAUUUAAACCUACUCUAAAUCUGAACUUGUGGGAAGAGAACUUGAUCUAAAGUCUAAGUCGUUAACGGAUAUGAUAUGGGAAGGUUGAGCUGCUGUUUAUCUGUUUCUAGAGAUGCUAGAAUUCUGGAGAAUUUUAUCUUUAAAAAUCUUUAAAAUGACACAUGAUGAGUUCCUGUAUGAUGAGAGUUUAAAAUCCUACCACAGCCAUAUAUACAUGCUUAUUAGACUUUGAGCCACACAUUUACUUUACUGCUUAUGAGCAUUGAGUGUGGUCAAGCUGUGUAGACCCUUAGGAGCUUGUCAUGUGGUUAAAAUCAAGAUUCACUUGCACGUUCACUCAUACAUGCUACUUCUACUCCGGAAGUACGCAUCCACAUACAUCCACUCAUUUCCAUCUCCAGAUUCAUCCAAAAUUAUUCUACUCCUAAUCCGGAAGAGAAUAGCCAAAAACAUUUUCCUAUACCUGUUAUUCCCUGUGAAAUAAAUGCUCCAGUUAUUUUGGUUACUACCACUUGCUAUAUUAUUUUAGGAGAUGAGUGCUCUAAAAAAAGAGAAAAUAAAUAAAUAAAUAAAUAAAUAAUAUACGAGGAAAUAAGAAGGGGCAAGUGCCCGGAACCUCGAAGAAAAGAAAAAGUGAGACGAGAGGUAAAAAUGGACAAGUGUCCGACAGUAGAAUUAGGGGUACAAGAUACCCACCUGAGAGAAAAAGAAAAAGAAAAUAUAGAGCAUCUCAUUCUCCUCAAAAAAGCUUCAAAGUGCAAGAAAGGUAUGUAUCCCUCAAAAGAGAAAAAGUAGAAUUAGACUUUCACCAUUAUUAUCAUCAUCAUCACCAUACACCAUUCAUUCGCCACACAUGCACAUCAUGAUUUGACUUAUUGACUUGUCUCUCUGGAUCCAUGGUUUGACUAUGCAAUAAAUGUCUUGUAAGUAUGUAUUAGCUGUCUCCCACCUAUGAGCUCCAGAUAUCAAAACCUUAUUAGAGUAGGGUGAGAAAGAAGGCAAUAUCACUAUGCAUUAUACCAAAAAUACCACAUACUUUGAGAAAAGGCAUAUACCAUUACUGCCAGAAAUAUGACAAAAGAGAGAUCUGAGAGAGUCAUACAAGGAAUCUCUGAGUUUUAUUUGAAAAUCUGCAAAAACCCCAGAGCUAUAGCUGAUCAAGAAAAAGAGACAUGGCGCUUGACUUGACCGUUCUAUCUUUUAACUGCUCAAGACACAAGUAACGGUUACAAGCCCCAUGGAGAAAGGUAAAAUGAGUAAGUUUUAAGUCUUAACAGUUUAUUCUAACUCAGAGAUGAGAUCUUGCUUGAAUGCGUGUGUACUUUUAAGGCAUGAAACCACUGCAGAAACUCUUGAGUUCAUCCUUGCUCAGGGACGAGCAAGAGGUAAGCUUGGGGGAGUUUGUUGACGGUCCUUAAGUAUCAAAUUUAAUUAUCAAAUAAACAAAGAAAAGGAUCCAAAUGAAAUCAACAUCUAGACUUAGGGUUUUAUCUGACAGAAUUCCAUGAGUUUUGGUGUUUGUCUAUUUCUGCAGGGGGUUAUCAGGAAAUAAGGAAGAAAGGCCCACAUGUCAGGAUUACAUAGAGAUAUCAACGCACCGCGCAAUUUUCUACCAUCUAGAAGACUCCAGAAGCCACGAGACCGAAGCGGAGGCGAAACGGGGCCAGGACCUGGGCGCCCGCCCACCUGCCGAGCCCAAUCAGGACUCUUUCUCUCGGGAGAUCUCCACCGACCUAUUGGAUUCAGAAUAACGUAGUACCACCUCGCCUACCGACCCAAAAACGCAUAGAAGGGGAGGACUAUAUAAGGAGACCCCCUGGCCCCUGGAGAAGACAAGAAAUUAUCAUAGAGAUUGAGGGGUUCCCUCGAAAGAAAACCUCUUCUCUAAAUAAUAUUUCUUUUUAGGCUUAGCAACCAAUGUAAAGUAGAAAUAGAUCUUCUAGUUUCUACUAGAUUGAGAGAGAUAGAGUGGAGGUGUGGAUCGGAGGAAGGCCGGCCUGUCGGUGUCUACUCCGAGUUGUACCUGUGGGAUCAAGUCUCCUAACCCGAGGCUUGCUUCUAAGAUUCUUCAGUAAUUCGACUUCUAAUUCUAGUAAGUUCUUGUUUUAUUGUUCUUUGGUUUAUGAGUUUACUUUAAUCCUCUUCCGGUUGAGUAUUAGAGUAAUCACUUGCUAGCGUAAACGUGGUGUUUAGGCUAGGGUACUCAUAGAUAUCCCCUAACUAGCUGGACCGUGGUAGUAGCGAGGAACGUGACAUUUCCGAGUUACCUUUGUAUCCCAUAUCUUGUUAGCAGGACGGGUAGGUUUAUAGGUGCGGGUCGAACAUCCUUUGUGUUGUCUAGAUUCCGUGAGCCUCCCCAAUAGAACGGUAGAUCAUCCUUACCAAGGUUAGAACGAGACUACGGUUGCAGUCUUCUCUAUACAUCACUCACAUCGAGAGACAUUCUUUGUAGCCUAAAGGGAUAGUAGCAAUAGAUUUGGUUAGUCAGAUGCACCCUUUCUCCCAGUGGUAAAAAUAUAAAUACGAUACUUUGGAAAACCUCCCGGGUGAAAUGCUCACCGAUAUCCGUGCGCUUGCGGAUCAUUUUGUAAUUGCGUUACCAAAUAUCAACAGCCGUCCCAGCUUGAAGGCGUGCAUCCGAUCACUGCUUCGAACAAAAUUGUCAUCCGAUAAGUUGAACAGCUCGUUCAUCAGCUGCUGGACCUCCGCCUUCUCUAGACCAUCCGGGCACAUUCUGGUCGGGUCUUGGCUCCCCGCAUACUCGUACGCCGAGUGUAUCCUCCUCUAGCAAGGCAUCACCCGACGCACAAGGAAGUUCCCGACCACUCCUGGCCCAUCUAAGCGGGACCAGUCGAUCAGGCUCAUCAGAUCUGCCACUUGGCCCUCGUACUCUGGACGGUCCGUCCAGCGGACCCUCUUCUUGGGGAUGUAGCCCACGUCGCAGAACGUGGCGCUGCCCGGUUCUUCAUGGAUGUAGAACCACUUCUUGUACCAUUCGGUGAGAGAAGUGUUCUAUGGGCAGCUGAGGUACCGGUUCUUCAUCCCAUCGCGCAGAUUGAGGUAUACUCCACCUGCAAUCUUGGAGCCUCCAACUGCCCCUUUCUUCCUCAGACAGAAAAGAUAGCGAAAAAGAUCGAAGUGCGGCUCUAUUCCAACAUAGGCCUCGCACAAAUGAAUAAAGGUGGAAAGAAGGAGAAUUGAGUUCGGGUGCAAGUUGUAGAUCCCGAUCUCAUAGUAAAGAAGGAGGCCUUGAAGAAAAGGAUGAACUGGAAUCCCAAAACCCCUCUUGAAGAAAUCCUCAAAAACGACAAUCUCACCAGCAUGGGGGUCGGGGUAGCUUUCCCCCUCUGGCGCCCUCCAUCCUCUGAGUUCUUGGUUGUGAAGGAGCCCCUUCUCGACGAGGUCGUUGAGAGACCGUGUGUUGCUCCGAGAUUUUUUCCAUUCUUUGGCCAUCAUCUCGGCCCUCUUCUUGGCAUCACUCUUCGCCAUCUCAACUCUCGAAAAGUCUCGAGCUCGGUUUUGGGGUUUGAAGGUGGUGAAGAAGAUGGAGUUUCUGGCAAUAGUAUGCAACUGCUGGGUAAAAAGAAAGGAUACGACCUUGAGCCUUUAUAACAAAAACUUCGCCUCUUCCACUUCCCGCAUUCUUGGGAAGUGGGCGGAUCCUGCGGCGGCUGUGGCGUUUCGGUUUUCAAUAAUUACCGUCAAUUAAUAUGGUGGCUUUUCUACAUAAUUGGUGCUUUCCUUUUCUUGAACCACACAAAGAGCAGCUGCACAGUUACCAGGCGCACCUUUUUACGCAACAGUCUGACAAUGACCUAGGAUGCCUUGUCACAUCACGCAUUAAUGUGGCGAGAUGCUUUUUCUAAAAGACAAGCGGAUCUGGUGGAGGACCGUACAUGACAUACUCGGGGACUGGUCGACCAGCACGCCCAUUUGAGCGUCUGGGGACUGUACCGACCACCAAGCAUUAUAUGCUCGGGGACUGGUCGACUAGUCUGUUCCAUUGCAGACGAGCAUGAUAUGCUCGGGGGCUGGUCGAUUAGUCUGUUCUGUUGCAGACGAGCAUUAUAUGAUCGGAGACUGGUCGACCAGCACGCCCAUUUGAGAGUUUGGGGACUGUACCGACCACUGAGCAUUAUAUGCUCGGGGACUGGUCGACCAGCACGCCCAUUUGAGAGUUUGGGGACUGUACCGACCACCAAACAUUUUAUGCUCGGGGACUGGUCGAUUACUCUGUUCCGUUGCAGACGAGCAUGAUAUGCUCGAGGACUGGUAAAUUCAAUUUUUUAGACCUUGCUACAAGGCUCAUACUUCACCUUCCAGCAAGCUCGGAGACUAUAUCGGUACGAUGCAUCUGGCGAUGCAUCUCAGUUUUGGAAUUUCUAUGAAGACUUUUUUGACCCUGGUACCACGUGCCUACGUCAUCUACUACCAGGUUCGGGGACUAAGUGGGCACACUUCACCUUGCGGUGAACAUGCUUGCUUUUUGAAAGUCUAUACUUUUUAGAAAAGUAAAGUGGGCACACUUCACCAGGAAAGAAAUCUUUUUUGAUUAAGAGCACCAUGCAUUCUUCGAACAACCUACUUCUUCGAUGUCCAUGUUGAUCAACUGCCUUUUGAGUUGGUUAAAAUACCGUUGCAACUGUUUGGGCAAUUUUCCUUCUUAUUGAAGACGUCAAGCCUCACUAGUCGAAGAAGCUCAAGACGGCGUGUUACAUCACAAUACAUGGUGCUCGGGGACUAGCUGUGGGGGUAUAAAUCCCUAUACCCUUACGGCUAGACUUGGGCCAGGAGGCUUGGCCCAUCACGAAGACAGUCCGAGGCUUGAUCCAACUGCUCGGAGUUUCGCGCAAGGAAACAAGACGUGGAGAUCAAGCCGAAUUCUAGUCGGUUAGAAUAGGAAUUGAUAUUGUGCUAUCUAUGGCAAUUGUAACCGACUAGGAUUAGUUUCCAGAUUUGUAACCCUGCCCUCUGGACUAUAUAAAGAGAGGCAAGGGACCCCCUAGGUAAUUCAUCUCAACACAAUCCAAUACAAUCAGACGCAGGACGUAGGUAUUACGCCCACGCGGCGGCCGAACCUGGAUAAAAACCUGGUCUGUGUCUUGCGUCACCAUCAAGUUCGUAGCUUGUGCACCGUCUACCGAUAAACUACUAUCGUGGGUAUACCCUAAGGUAGACUGCCGACUAGCUUUCGUCGACACACGUGAUAUACGAGAAAGAUUUGGUUCAGGUAAUUAUGCAUGUGGUUCAAGCAUCUAUCUAAAAAAAUUGUGACCACUGCCACCAUUGUGAAGUGUUCCAUAAAUAUGUUUAAUAUCCUUUGCCAUUGCCAAGACACAUGUUUUUUUCUCUACACAUUCCUUUGAACGCAGAUGCUCAAAAUUGGGGACAACAUUGACAUACCCUGGAUUGCCAAAGCACUGGAUUGUUGCACGGCAACACCAAAGUGUAGAGGCACAAGCUUGCAUUGAGGGGAUGGCAUGAGGUUAGGUUCAGCGGCAACUACUUAAGGUCUUGUUUUUCUAUCCCAACUAAUAAUUUUUGGUUUGCUUCGUCAUGUUAUUUUGGGAAGCAAGACAUGUCAUUAUCUACAAUUGCCUUGGGUACAAAAGCUUUGUCAAAUUGUUUGCAAGGUUCAGAAGGAGCUGCUCCUUUUAUUGACUAAAAUUAUAAAAACAGUACCUACUGCAAGAGAGAUUGAAUCUAAUUCUAAUGCAUUUUGGGGACUCUGGUUGUAAUGAUAAAGUUUAAAAAACGCUGGCCAUAUUGAAUUAAUCUUGCUCGAUGUUGCCUCUCCUGCCAAUUUGCCAUAUAAGUUGAUUGGUUCUGUCUCAUCUAUUUAGCUAUUGCACACCAAUUAUAUUGCAUGCAGACUCAUCAGGCUUACUUUAUAAGUGUACUUUACUAAUAAUUAGUGUUACCUAUAACGCUAUGACACUAAAAACGACAUCCUUAUUCUUUUUUGCAAUGUUUCCUUCUCGACUGCAUAUGUCGAGUGCUUUCCGCAAGCCAUCUGAAAAAAAGGUUUAAAAUGUUGCUACUUUUUUUUGCAUUAGAAGAACAUUAAUUCCUCAAAACAAAAUAAAGGUUUUGUACGAAUGUUUGUGUAUUUGUUAAAACAUUUUGACUCAGUAAAUAAAGUCCCUUUUGUAUUUCUUCUUCUUCUCUAUUACGAAUAUAAUCAAAUUUACUAUUUUGCUUCAAAUGAUUUGUUUUCUAUUAAUCCCCUUACUCCAGUCAGUGUUUCUUCGUAUAUCUCUUACAUCACUUAGUUUCAAAUUAGACAUGGUUAUGAAAACAAAUACUUUAGAUUACUGACUCAUAAACAAUUGAACAGGUUUAUCUAAAUCAAUUGGGUGUCAUUUGAAGCUAUUCCAACUUAAGCUGGUGUUGGCUCCUUUCAGCCUGCACAAAAGGAGAGAAGUGCUAUAUUAGAGUGAACAUGAUCCUUGCCACCAGCAAGUAACAGGGGAAGGUGAGGUGAGAAUUAGAAUUGUCUUCAAUUUUAGGUGUUCAUGCCGCUUCAUUUAGAGCACCUUGAGGAAGUUCGUGUCUUAGGAUGAUUAGUAUAGCUAUAGCUUACCUUAUUUGUGGAAGGCUGCAAAAUCUAGAUUUUACCAUCGCAUCAAUUUUAAAGUUCAAAGGUCCAAUUCAAGACUGCCAUGACUUGGCUACAUCACUUAAAGUAAAAGAGUCAACAAAAUUUAAGUUCCUAACAGAGUUGCUUUUCUCUAAAACUAUUUUUAGCUGCAAAGGAGUGCCUUAAUAGAAUAUUGAAAUCUCACAUGUGUUACAAAUAUGUAAUAGUUGAUGCUAAUAAUUCUGUAUUGACAUUUUCGUAGGCCACUAAUGAAUUUUCCAUAAGAAACAAAAGACAAUUUCUUCGUUUUUGCUUUGUAUAUAUGUGACUGACAUGUCAAUGAUUUUUUUCCCUCCUAUGACGCUCUUGCCCUUGUGAUGUGUCUUUACAGCACACCAUUUUAGAUCAGAUAUAACCUCUUACUAACACUAGCACAGUUCUUCCCAAACAACGCCUCACUGUUCACAUCUCCGGAAUACCACCACAUCGCUAUUGUGAUUUCACAGUCCACUGUCUUCUCAGUGAAACAUGCACAAUCCAUGCCAUCUCAUUUUGUCAUGCAACAUUAUCGUACUCAGUUGAUGUUCAUGGAUCACAAACCCUCAUGUCUCAAGCAGCACAUGUAGCACUUAGUAUGAUAACACGCUAUGGUUGUCUCCUCAACAUUUGGCCAAUAUGGUAUGACACAUAUAUGGAAGAAAUGCUUGGCCGACUAUCCUCGACAACCUAUGACCGGAUGCCAUCUUUGCAUGGAGGUAUUCACAUCCACAUCUGCAGUCUAAAUGAAAAAAAUAAUAGCACAACAUAAGUCGAAAACAAGAGAAGCUCUCUUUUUUUUUCUCACCAUCUUUUACUUGACCAUUUACAGGAGACACUCAUCUUGACAUAGAGGAGCAACAUGAAGCAUAUACGUACUCAGGUAUGUAAACACACUAUAAAAACAAUAUAUUAAUAAACAACACCAUAACAUAGACAAAACAAUUACUUUUAAUGUACCAGACGACCAGAACAAAGACACCUCCCAACCACUAAGCAAAUAAAUUUGCAUUGCAUUUUGCCUACACCUCACACUACUGAUACUUUGCAUACUAACAUAUAGCGAUGACACCCCUUCCUGAUUCUCGACAGGCAAAACACCGUACCACACCAUCCUGACACGGACUCAUCCAUCAACAUUUCACGUGAAGCAUGAACAUUGGUUAAUAGUGAUGUCUACAGCACAACCACCAAAACUCUUAAACCCAUAGCUCGCUUUCCUGUAUAAUAUUUCGGGCGCAUACUGUCAAAAUGUCUUUGAACACCACAUCUGACACAAAUAAAUUAGCACCCAACUGGAUAAUUGUGUCGUGUAAUAUACCAACCCAGCGCCCUAUGAUGCUUUGGUAUGUUGAGCCAAAUUCAGCGUGUACCAAACCUAAUGACUACUAUGAUAUAUACUCUUUUAUAUAUAAUAAAUACUAUGCUCUGUACAUUCUCCUUAAAUACCAUGAUGGCUCACUCAGGAUUGCUUAUGCUAAAGCGCAAAUGCGCGCGCCAUCAACUAGUCAAUAAAAACACCCGAACCGAACCGGCGGCGGCUGCUCGCCUGCCCGACCCGGACCCGUACUCGGGCAUUUUUUCUUUAGCGACCCGUACUCGGGCAAAUGUAAAGCUUGAUCACUAUGAAUCCAGAACUCGAGAGAAACAGCCCAGACAGCCCACGACCGGCCCAGUCUCAUCACAAACGCACGCGCACGUCGCCGUCGCCAUCGCCCCGCUGUAACCCUACCCUAGCCGCCCCGAAGCUUCCCGUCCUUCUCCUUGCGGCGGCCGCGGGCGGCGCGGCGAGUCGGCGGCCACCCGCCCCCAUCUCCUACUUGAGCCUCCCAACCUCACCGGCGCUGUCCGCCUCCUCCCCCUCCCACUCCGCACCGUAGAUCUUUCUCCUCGGCGCUCGGGAGGACCACUCAAUCCACCUUCACUUCACCGUGCGGGAUCUGAUCGCAAUCGGAUCCCCCCCGCCGGCGCCGCCGCCGCCGGGGUCGCCUCCCCGGGAGGAGCCCCGGGCCCGACGAGACGGAGGCGAGGGUAGACGACGGAGGCGAGGAGGACGAGGAGGCGGGGGAGGGGAAGCCCAUGCCGGCCGCCGGGGCCCGCCGCUCCACUCGCGUCUUCAUGCCCAAGGCGCCCAAGCCGCCGCAAUCCCAGGACCAGGCCGACCCCGCCACCCGGGUCCUCCGCUCCGGCAAGCGCCUCGCCGCCGACCGGAUCCGCUGGGACGCCAAGGAGGCCCCAGCCUUCCACGUCGACAUCAACCACGGCCACGGCCACGACCAGCAGCACCAAAAGGAGGAUUGCCCCAAACCGGGAUUGCCACCUCUGACGAAGUCCUUCGGGAUCGUGUACAGUAGGAAACGCCGCCGCCGGAGGCACUCCGCCUCCGAGGUCGUCGCCGAGGACGAGGACGGCAGCAGGAGGUUUGGGAUAGUAUAUACCAGGAGGAAGGGCAAGCGAUCGAAGGUCAGCCAUCUCCUUCCGCAAGAGCGAGCGGUCCCCUGUGACCUCGCCGCCGCGAUUCCAUGCUCCUCCUCCCUUGAGUUUGCGUCAAGAACUGGCUUCUUGGAUGCCCAUUUAUCGGCCCUUGUAGAUGGUGCCGCCACUCACUCUGGGGCUCAGACGCUGAUCAUCCUUGUUGAUACGUCUUGCCCUGGGAGCUCUCACCGGCUCCUUGGCCUUCUUCUACCCAUGCUGCGGUGGAUGUGCCGCAGUAGGCAGCGUGGAAAGUUCCAGAACCUUGCUACUUUCAUCAUGUCUGCUGGCGUAGCUGCUGCGUUUGCAUUCCAUGGGGUGCACUUUGUCAAGCUCCAGCGCCGGAGUGCCGUAAGCUUUCUACAGCCUUCAUCAGCCCUAUUUUGUUUCUGGUAUAAUUGGUGUAACAUUUGUGCUUCUUUCUGCAGUCUGCAUUGUUACAUAGGCCUCUUGCGCACUGUGGGUGGUGUGCGCUUCAUGGUUCCAAGAUAUCUGAACCGCUUCUGUCAGUUGAUUUCUCAGCACUUCCUUCAUACUUUUGGAGCUUGCAAUAUGCUGUAGCUCUUGAAUCGAUGUAUCUGCCAGCUAUGAUUCGGCACAGCAGGCUGCUGGAUGGGGGAUCUGAAGAAAUCUAUCCUCACACUCCUUUGUAUUUGGAUUCUGGGGCUCAAAGCAGUGGUUUUGCCACUACUGACGUGGGCAGCAAUGAACCUUGCAGAGUGGUUCCGAACUACAUGCCCCUUGAACAAGUUGCUGGACUAGUGGCACAUGGUCUGAGGCUAAAGAAGCAUCAAAGGCGGAGGAGAACUAUGAGACAUCCUCGAAAUCGGCGGCGGCUUAUAACUAGAUUACCUGACAAUGGAAUUGGGAUGAAGCACAGCAUGGCUGCCACGCAAACAGAAUUAAAGCUGCGAUCAAGUAGGCAAGAACCUCCAGUGGAGCCUCUCCAACCUAAAGCAACAUUAGAAAUUUCUCUUGAUUUGCUUGAAAACAUGGAUGAAAGUGAUGUUUCGACUCCCAUGGGAUCAACUAGGAGAAAGAGAUCUUCUUUGAAGAGCCCUGUCGAGAGAAUGAAUGAAAAGCUGGCCUUGGCUGAGGUGAGACAGAACAUAGAUUCUGUUCACAGCAAAGCAAACCUUCUAAAUCUUCAAGCUGAUAGGUGCUGGAGGGAAGAGGGUGCUGAAGUUAUGCUAGAACUAUCAGAUACCAAUAAGUGGUGUAUAGUUGUGAAGAUACAAGGUGUUACUAGGUACUCUCUUAAACCUUCAGAUAUGAGGUCAUAUGUCGUUAAUCGUCAUACUCAAGCCUACAUGUGGGCAGUUGAUGAUGCAUGGAAGCUUGAGUUCACUGAUAAGUGGGACUGGCUGUUAUUCAAAGAGUUGCAUGUUGUGGGCCGUGAGCGUAAUUCCCAGGGGAAGACGAUCCCAAUUCCUGGGGUACAUGAAGUUUCUGAUGACAUGGAAGGGAUUGUUACAGAUCCUUUCUCACGCCCUGUGCCAGACUAUAUCAGGAUGGUGGAUGAUGAAGUUGGACGAGCUAUCUCAAGGGAUUCUAUUUAUGACAUGGAUUCAGAGGAUGAACAAUGGCUCAUUCAGUUGAAUCAUGCAGAUUCUGAUCCAAACAGCUCUCAAAGGGACCAUAUCUCUUACGAAGACUUUGAGAGGAUAAUAAGCAUAUUUGAAAAGGAUGCCUACAACAAUCCCCAAGGAAAAAAUGAUUUGAGUGAGCUUCUUCCCAGAUAUCCUGCUUUAGGAAAUGAUGAGAAUGUGCAUGCUGUGUAUGAAUAUUGGACAAGUAAGAGGUCCAAGAGAGCUGCACCAUUGCUAAGGGUAUUUCAGGUAAUUUUGGGGUUUCUCAUACCCAUUUCCAAGCUCAACACUGCUUUGUUAUAUCAUUUCCCUUUUCUACUGUCUAGCCUUGAUUAUACCAUCUACUGAUACCAGUUACCUAUUACCAAAGCUUAAUUCUUUUUACAGCUAUGUCCUGUUAUUUCUCUUUUUGUCAAGCUUUCAUUCAGUGUAUAUUAUCUAAUUGAUACACUGUUUCAACCUUAGGGUGCACCCAUAAGGCGAGGACAUCUAUCACAAAAGUCUGCCAUGAAGCGAAAGAGAUCUUUUAAGAGACAAAAAAGCCAAGCCGGUCGUGGAAAGCCUGAAGCUUUAUUGCUAGGUAAUUACUACUGCAUAAAAAACCCUACUGAGCAAUACAUUUAAAUCUGAUAAUGUGGAAAUCCAAUCAGGAGACAGAUCUUAAUCACCUUCAAUUCUUGCGCUGUUGGAUGAGUCCCCUCCCCCACCCACCACCACCACCCAUAGAAAGAACCAUGUUUAUCUCCUUUGUUUAACAUUUGAGAUCCAUAGCAUUAAGACCUUGUCAUGGACUUCCUUCUUCUGGGGCCAAUCUUGCUAUGCACUUGUCAACAAAAUUAAAACAAUAAAAUAUGUGCCCUAAGUAUGAUACAUCUAAAAGCAACUCCAAGAGACUCUCUAUAUCAUUCCUAAUUGCUAGAAAUAGAGAUUUUGAUGGAAAAAUACUCUCCAGCAGCUUCUUUAAAUGGUUAUCCAAAUAUAGCCAUCCUCUAUUCAGUAUUUCUUGCUUAGCCUAAGUUAGUGAAAAUGGCUCUCUAGAGUGUGCUCAAGAUAUAGAAAGGCCGUUGGAGAGUGGAAAGAUAUAGAAAGCGAUUUUUAUGCAGAUGGCUUUGCAAACGAUGAUUUAGAGAGCUAGUUUUAGAAAGAUUAUUGGAGAUGCUCUAAUGGCAUUAAUCGGUGGCCAAUCUAGUAUUUAUCACAUUACUAUGGUUCUACAGAGGUAGAAUAAUCUUAUUUCAUUUGUUUGUGCAUUAUGGUUGACAGACAAUGCUGAAGAGGAGGCAGCUUUGCAGAGAGUUGCCCAAGCUGAACGUGCAGCAAAACAGGCUGUAGAAACAGCUAUUCGACUGCGCAACAGAGCCCAGUCUCUCAUGACAAACGCAGAGCUCGCGGCAUACAAAUCCAUCAUGGCUCUCAGGAUUGCCGAGGCUGCUAGGAUAUCUGACUCUUCACGAGAUAUUGUUUGUACUAUCCUCGACUAAAGAAGAAUAUGGGCUGUUCAUUGAUUUGUGUGGAGGACGUGGGAAUACUCUUUUUUCUUUGGUUGCAUCAUCGCCCAUGAUAUUGGCUUUUCGAUAAGCUGUGGGACUAUUUUUACCCCCUCUCGUGUUGUUAACUUUGUCAGGCCAAUUUUGAGGCGAAUGCUUGAACUGAAAACUGUAAUUUCUUGUAUAAAUGAAAGUAGCUAGCUAGAUUCUGUAUGUUAUGGGAACUGAUGUUCUGUAGAAAUGAUGAAAGAAAAAGUAAAAAAAAAAAAAGCAUGAGAUGAAGGGAAAUCAAGCAUCUGUUUGCAUCCCUUUGUCUUCAGUGAUAUAUGUUAUCUUUAAUGUGUCCCUUUUCUCUGUUUUUAUCAGUGUGUGUAGUGUCUCUUCUCUGAAAUUAGUUGCUUUAUAUAUAUCUUGUAAAAAUGUAAAUAAUAUUUGCCAUCGACUGUUGUAAUUGAGCCAUUGAAAUUUGUUCCCAUAAUGGAAGUAGUGAAGUAAAGGUAAUAAUAUUUUGGUUGACCCAUCACUCAUCCUAUGCUUAUUGACUCAGUUUUAUUUCACCAUGGUCCAUUUGCUAUAUUUUGAUUUAUUUCCACUUAGUUAUCUAUACAAUACUCCUAAAGUUGGAGCACUGGAGCCCUCUCACAAAUCACCAGCACCCCCUCACACAGCACUGUUCCAAGCACAGUAACAUUUUACCACCGCAGGAUCUCUAACCUCCUCACUACAACCAUCCAUGUCUUCCACGUUCCGGGUUUCUAUCCUAUCGCAUCUCCUCCUGAAUUAAAAAAAAAAGCAUAUCAUAUUCCCUCAUUCCCUCGUCAAUCAAAAAAAGAGUACUGCAUCGGCUACAUCCUCGCUUCAGACCGUGGCAUCCCCGGGACGCCAUCCUCCUGCCGUGGGCACCUCGCCUCAUCCUAUGAUUCGCCUCCCUUUGCGCUCCUCCACGAUGCGCCCAUAUACUGGGUGCCGCGGGUGCCCGUAUAUUGGACCUAUAACCUAUAUGUACAUAUUGGUUUCAGAGCACAGUCUUCACGAUUGGAGCUGCAGCAUAUAUGUAAAUAUGCACUUCUGUUUUUACUGCUUUAUGCUUCUACAAUACACUUUCAGUAACAGAAGUGAUAUCACAACAUUUUAUCACUUCCCUACCCCUUGUGUUGCGCAGGGUUUCCUGCUAGUCUUCACUAUUUUUUGUGUGUAUUCGUUGUUGUUUAUUUGUUGAGAUAUUUAUCUGUAUAGCCUUAAAAAACAUGUCUUUUUCUUGUGGCCUUAUUUUUUUAAGAGUAAAGUUCAUUAUCAGUCCCUAAACUUGUCUGGGUAUGUCAUCUUGGUUUCUAAACUUGCAAAACGAUACCUGAACUUGUUUGGUUGUAUCAUCUUAGUCCCUAAAUAUGAAAAUCUCUCAUGUAGGUCCUCAAACUUGUUCGAUUGUGUCAUCCAGAUCCCUAAACUUAUUUUUAAGUCUCAUUUGGAUAAAAGAAGUCGAAUCUAAAAACUCUAUAUCAAAAAAUAACUCAUAACUUUUCAUAUGAACUCAAAUCAAGAUAAACUAUCAAAAUUAUAGCCAGCAAUGCGAUCUACAACUUUAUAGUUGAAAACUUUUUAAAUUAAAAUCAUCUAGGGUCCCAAAAUGUUUUUUGUACGUUUAUAGGUUUCAAAAUUUAAAAAUUUAAAAUAAAUUUUGUGACACUAAAUAACUUAAAAUAAAAAAUUCUACUACAAAGUUGUAGAUCGUGUUAAGGGCUACAACUUUGAUAUAAGUUUUUCUUCAUUCGAGUUCAUAUGAAAAAGUUAUAAAUUAUUUUUUCCAUUUAGAGUUUUUAGAUCGCUUUGUUUUGACCUAGAUGAGAUCUAAAACCAAGUUUAGGUACUGGGAUGAUACAAAUUAAUAAAUUUGUUGACUUAAAUGGGUGAUUUCUAAGUUUAGGGACUAGAAUGACAUAGCUAAACAAGUUUAGGGACUGGGAUGACAUAGACGAACAAGUUCAAGGACGUAAAUGAUCGAUUUACGAGUUUAAGGACCGAGAUAACACAAAAGUACAAGUUUAAGGACCGGGGUGGACUUUACCAUUUUUUAAAUUUAUGUGACCUUAAAAUACAUGUGCCUUAUUUUUCUGUGGCUCAUUGUUUUUUUGAAUUUACCUACAUGGCCCGAGAACAAAAAAUCUCUUUCUUCUAUCAUCUUUCGUCCAAUUUAGACCACUAAAAUAUUUUCCUUCUUUGGUCUUUCGUCCAAUUCAGGCCACUGAUGGUGUGUGGAGUAAAAUGGACGAAAAGAAUAAAGUUUUAGCAGAAAAAUUGUAUCAUCGUAUGAAGACGAUUUUUAUAUUAUAAUUGUAGCUCUUAAUAAGAUCUACAAGUUUCUAGUUUUAAGUUUUUUAAUUUAAAAUCUUUAAGAUACUCAAAAAUAUUAAAUAAAGUUUUAGUAGUAUAUUAAUCGUGUAUAACACUGGUCGUCUUGGAAAAAUUAUAUAUUUCUUAUAUGAUGUUAAAUAGAGAUGCAUUAUAAAUGAAAGUUAUAGCUUUUAGUAUAAUCUACAAUUUUAUAGUUUUAUUUUUUUCAUUUAAGAUUAUUAAGAUGCUCAAAAAAUAAUAUAAAUUUCAGCAGCAAAUUAAAUCGUGUACAAGCCUAGAAACUACAAUUUAUGUACUAUAACGUGUGACCUUAUUUGCGGAAUAUUACUCUAAAUCUAAAACAAACAAACUAAUGUAUAUUUAGGUUUGUUACAAAAGCUAUAUUUUGAAAAAAGUCAGAAUAAUUUAUAAUUUGGAACAGAACGAGUAGGAUUCAUAUGGUGUUAUUUUGUGUGUGCAAUGGUUACAAAAUGCUAAUUUGAAGCUAACUUGUGUCUUUGCUAAUUAUUGCUUGACUUUGUUCUUUUUUAUCCAUGUGUAUUUCUGUUCGUACUUUGUUAGAGCAACUCCAACCAUUAUACAAAUGGAUUUGGCAUUUACCAAAAUGCAUAAAACUCUAAAAAAAACCCCUCCAAUCGUUAUGCAUUUGGACUUUGCAUUUUACAUAACUAUGUAUUUGGAGGGGGAAACUUGGCAUAUAUGCCAAAGGAGUCCGGCUAUGCAAAUAGAGAUCACGGGAUUCUCAGUUCCACCUCGCGGGCUUUUUUCUUCCCUUCGCGCGGUUUCCCUUCGCGCCGCCACCACUUCGCGCGAUAGGAGAAGCAUUGCGCGUCCUCCUUCGCCAGCUUCGCGCGCGCGUUUGGACGAAGCGGCUAGAUCCAUUCUCCGGUACCCUCGAUCCCAUGUUGGCUUCACGAAAUUCUGCUGCUCGCGAGCUGCAACGGCUUGACUGAUGGCGGCGACCUGCCUUGACGACGAACUGAUGGCGGCGAUCGGAAACUAAUGGGGAACAUGACCUGAUGGAGAUCGGUACUGGAGCCAAGGGGCGAACCUGUACGACGACGAACUGAUGGCCAACAGACGACGAACUGGUACGGUGAACGGGAACUAACGGAACGGGCUACUGCGAGGCUGUUUGGCGCGAGAAUUGGUGAACGGGAGACGAUGGCGGGCUGUUUGGCGCGGGAUCGAUUGGCCGCGCGGGAAGGAGUGCCGCGAAACAAAAUUUCCGGAAAAAAAAAGAUGAUGGACUUGACAUUUUGCAUAACGGUUGGAGAUCACCCGAUUUUAGCCUUGCUAUUUUCAUUUGGGGGUUUGCAAUUUGCCUAAAAUGCAUAACUUCAAAUGCAUAAUGGUUGGAGAUGCUCUUACACGAUGCAUCUGUGUAGGGCCUAUUUAAUUCCUCAUUUGGGCCAAAAAAUUUUAUGUUUUGGUUCACCAUUUUGCAGAAUGAAAUUAAAUAUCAUCUAAAUUUUUUAGAGUUGCCAUUUUGCACUAUAGAUUUUGGUGUCAAGAGCCAAAAAAAGCAUCUUCAUGUAUUUUGGACCCUAAAAAUUUUAGCAUUUUGGAUGAAACUAAACACACCUAUAAAAUUUGGCAUUUUACAUUUUAUCAUUCUAAAGUAUUUGGUAUUUUGCAUUCCAUUGAAAACUAAACACGCCCUAUGUAUUAUCUAAUAUACGAUUUUUUUUUCAAGUUAGCCAUUUUCAAUAUAAGAUAUUUUUCAUAAACUCGUAUACUAGUAACUUUUUUGUACUGUAUUGUAUUGUUGAUGGUAGUUGUAUACUUGUGUUAGAGCCCAUUCACUGGUGCGAAAAGCUAUGAGAGAAAAAUAUCGCUGCCUGACAGGCUAAUAUUUGUUUGAGAUAUAAUCGGCCCCUUGCACUGUUGCAUGAUUGGGUAUUAGCACCGGUCGGGAAGGGUUCUGUUGCCUCGGUUCCCGAGCCGGUGCUGCCCUUCCGGGACUAAAGCCCCACCCUUUAGUCCCGGUUCGGGAAACCGGGGCUAAAGCCCCCCCUUUAACACCAGUUGGUAAUACACCAACCGGUGUUAAAGAGGGCAGGACUCUUUAACACCGGUUGGUAUUACCAACACCAACCAGUGUUAAAGGGGUUCUUUUUUUCUUUUUUUUCGGUUCAUUUCUUCGGUUCUGUUUAUUGUUUUUAUAUAAUAAUAAUAGGUUUGUCAAUACAUAUUUUAUGCUGAUAUAAUAUAUAUAUAUAUAUAUAUAUAUAUAUAUAUUACACGCAUAUUAAGCAUAUAUAAAUGGAAAUUAUAGGCUUAGCUUUAUAAUUAAGCUUUGCCUAUAAUAAAAUAAAUAGUCCACAUCAAUAAUUAAAUAGAUGGAUAUGUAAAAAGCUUUAUAUAUAGUUUUAUAAGUACAAAAUUCGUAACACAUAUAUACAUAGAGUUUUUUCUCCCAAUGUCUAAAACCGAUACAAAUGAUCAUCGUUGUUUAGAAUAAGAGUUCCGUUGCCGUUGAAGUGAAACUCGCCGUUUGGAUUGAUCACUUUCUCACGGAGAAAUCCUGGUAUCGUCUCUUGAGUAGCUUUGAUGCGGUCUUUUUGCAUGACCUUUUCCCUCAACCAUUCCGUCUUUAAUUUGAAAUAAAAUAAAAAAGGUAUUAGUUAUCUAAGUUAUUUAAUAUAAUUAUGGAGAUAAUGAAAAGAGAUAUGCAACGUACUCUGAGCAUCUCUGUGGGUGUUUGAUUGACUUUUGCCAUUAUGAAUUUGCACAUGUAAUAUGCACAUAGGUUGUUUCCCCCUUCUUGUGUUAAACACCACUGUACGAUAUAUAUAAAAAAUAUUCACGACCACGACAAUAAGAAGGCUAAAAGUUAGCGAAAGUUUGCUAGCUAGUACAACUUACUUGUAGAUGAAUUAUAUUAAGAGGCGCUUUACAACCAAUGAGAUGUUCACGGUCAAUAAAUCUUUCCCAAACCCUACACACAGCCAUUGUGGAUCAUGAACUAAUAAUUACAGAGUCAUAUCAUGAUAUUCUUCUAGCUGAGAUCGAUAUUACGUACCUUUGAAUAAUGAUUACCAUUUACUGAUAAUUAAUUUUCUUGUGGUUUUCUCAUUGAGUCAAAGAUUAUCAACCGGUUCUUGGGAAUUUCAAUGACCAUGAGUAUCCAGUGAAAGCUGUUUAUAUAUAUAUAUAUAUAUAUAUAUAUAUAUAUAUAUAUAUAUAUAUAGUCAGGCCUAUAACUAUAUAAAACUCGUCUCGAGUAAUAAUAAGUAAAAUAAAAUGUGCAUGCACUUAAUAACUAUAUAACUCACUCGAAGUUGUAGGGGAAGAGUAUGUUUGUUUUUCUUUUUGGUUCACAAAGAACCUCAUAAGAUUGGUGCAGACUUCUGUCUCAUGAGAUGUUGUCCACACUGCGUGCGGAGCCUUGAAAACAACAUAAGGGUCAACGAACCCAAUACUAUUGCCAUUUUUGCUUCUGAGCUCUCUCAUUUGGUGCCUGCAUAUAUACAUACAAAUUCUAAGUGUGUAAGGAUUAUAUACAUAUAAUUAAAGAAGGUAGAAGUUUAAUAAAAAAAAUACUUACAGACAAAAGCAGCUGACAAGAGAUUUGUCGAAAGCAGCUGACAAGAGAUUUGUCGAGAGCGUCGUGGUGACAUAAUUGGUGCAAUUCUUCAAACUGGACGUAUAUGAGGUCAUCUCCACGAAAGUAGUGAUGUUGUCUAAUACGAACAGAAAUCCAAUUAUCUCCCCUUUUAGACGCCUCCAUACACCACUUGUUUAUUGCAAAUAUUUGUGUGCCGAGCUCAUGUAAAUGCUGAGGGUUGAAUAGACUCCUGUCCGGUUCAUAUCUUGUCCUCCAUUGAUCAACUACCUCAGCUUUUUCAAAAGUUUGGCAUCCAACAAUGGUGGCAAUGUCUUCAAUAUUUAGACCGCUCUGUCCAAAGUAAUGCUCAAGCGAAUCUAGCUCAUACAAGAUUAAGGAUUUCUUUAGCAUCAAGUCUUCAUUUGAGCCGUAUUGAUUUGGCACAAUCAAAGGGGCACCGAUUUUGAUACUUCUCCGAGCUGUGGGACCCUCUUUCCUACACUCUUUCUAGGCUGUGAAGACUUGACCAAAGACUGCUCAUAGUUUGAAAGUGUUGGCUUUUUCUGAGCUUCCCGCUUCUUCUUUUGCUGGUCCGCCACCUUCUUCCUCAGUUCCUCUGGCUUUACAUAAAAGUACAGCUUUUCUAGAUUUAGCCACUCUUUUCUUUCCUGCUUCAAUUUAUCGAAAAAUUAUUUGACCUCAGCUUUGGAUGUAGCAAUUACCUCCUCUUCACUCUUUUCAUAAGAUAAUUUCUCUGGUGUCUUAGCUUUCUUUGCUGAGGCAGCCUUCUUUGGAGGUGGGAUCGAUGACUUCGGUCGUUCUGGAGCGGACCGCUUCUGACUACCUCGCUUUGGAGGCGAUGGGACCGACCGUGUACUCUUUGGAGAGGGCGGUGGAGGUGGUGGGGCCGAUCUUUUUGGUGUUGGAGAACGUGGUGGAGGAGUUGGAGACCUCGGUGGAGGAGGUGGAGACCAUGGUGGAGGCGGUGGCGGGGUCGGUGUGGCCGCCGCAGGUGUUGGAGGAGAUCCAACAUUGUCACCGCCCACAGCACUAUGAUGCGCUGGGGAAAGAACUGGACUUAGGUUGGAGGAGUCCCUGCAGAGAAAACAAUAACAAGUUCUGUGAACAAACUUUAUUUAAAUGCAAUACAUAAUAAAUAAUAUAAGAAGUAAACAAUAGUGACAUUCCUAGAAUAAUUAUGAAGCGCUUGCGCCAACAAAUAAACGUCUUCUCAGCUUCACCUAAGUUCUUCUCUCCGUAUCCCCCUUCUAUUUCUAGAGGCACACUGCCACAACCUUUCUCAACCCUAUCAACCGAGACGCUAGCAUAUCCAGUUGGCACUGGUCGAUUAUGGAUUCUUGGAGUUCUCGUUUGGUCGAUAGGGUUGACAACACCGGUAGCCACCUUUUUUGUUGCAUUUCCAUCUGGUACAUGUAGCUCAUAAGUAGUAAAAGCCUCUGUAACAUCAUCCACGUGGAAGUGUAGCUUCGUGUCAUCCUGAAUGGUUGGUACUUCCGUGGAUGCGCAACUGCUUUUCAACUGGCCUGGGGGCUAACGUUGACCUCAGGCUGUGAUGUACCUUGUCCUUUCAUUAUUUGACUAAGUGCUGCUUGCACUUGCCUUUCAAUCUCCGCCUGCAUCCAUUCUUCAUGAGAUUUCUCGUGCUCUUGUGACUGCAGAACAAAAGCUUCCAGCCGGCGGAUCCGCUCUGCCUCCUCAUCCUUCUUUCUCUGGCGGCUUCUGUAGGUUUCUUGAUCAGCUUGGAAUGAUUGCAGCCAUGGAACUACCCCAUAGCCUCUCGUACGCCCACCGUGCUCAGGAUUUUCAAGCGCAUACGUGAGUUCAUCCUUCUUCCUGUUAGGCCUGAACUCACCAGACUGAACCACCUCUCCUGCAUGGACUAGUCUCUCUGCUACUCUAGAGAUUUCUUAGCCCCAAACUAGCACCCCGGUGUCUAGGUCCACGCUUUCCCCAUGACCGUAGAACCAAUGCUUGGAGCGCUCGCUCCAAUUCUUUGCUAUUGUCUCGGGUGUGACCCCCCUAAUAAGCAUCUCCUGUUCCAUUCUUUCCCACUUGGGAACAACACUCUUAUAACCACCUGAUCCCAUAUGAUGGUGGUAUGUCUUUUUACUUGCAUUUUCUUUGUUCUUAAUGGCUCGUUCCUCGCCCUCUUCUGAUAUUUUGUACUGCACGAAGUCAUCCCAAAAGGCCCUCAGCUUUACAUAUUGCUUGAGGUUGAAAUUUGGAGUCUCGUUUUUCUUGACAAAUUUAUUGUACAAAGACUUCUUCCAAUUCUGGAAUAGUACCGCCAUCUUCUUCAUAGUCUAGUCAUAAAUUCACACCUUCAACUCUUCAUCGUUAGUGUCGAAGGUGAAAACCGCCGUGCCGACUUUCCAAACUACUUACCACGAUCAGAGACAAAACUGAUUUCAGGAGCACCUCGCUUCUCUCUCCAUUCACGAGCACUGAUCGGUAUUUGGUCUCUCACAAGGUAUCCACAGUGACCAACAUAUUUAUUUGCAUGUUCACCAAGUGGUCUGCCUAUAGCUAUCUCAAACUCAGAGGUUACGUAGCGGCCCUCCAACGGCUUAUUUGGCCCUCGUGGAGGUAAGCUUCUCCCCGUAGAGGUCGAUCCAGAAGGCUACACGUAGAUAUAAAAACAAAAAUACUAAAUUAAUAACCAAGUAAGUCUAAAACCUAAUGUAAAGAUGCAUUAUAUAUGUUUACAUUUACAUACCUCGCCGGUAUUUCCUUCUUGUUGCACGACAAGUUGUUGCUCAGGCGCAUUACCCUCUUGUUGCUCAGGGGCAUUUCCCUCUUGUUGCUCAGUCGGAUUGUCUUGCACAAUCUCGUUGUAAUCAAUAAAGUACUGACCACUGUCGUCGAUCAUAUUUUGAAUGUCAUCUUCUAUAUAAUUAGGAUCAUCAUAAGGACGGUCGGCCAUUUCUAUGUCUGCAACCACAUAUACAUAUAUAUUCUAUAUAAGAUAAGAAAUACACUAGAAUAAUAUAAGUUCUAGAGUGCUCCAAACUAAAAAAUAAUACUAACAAUAACAUAUGAAAGUGCUAGAGUGCUCCAAACUAAAAAAUAAUACUAGAAUCCUUUAAGCCAAGUAAUACACUAGAAUAAUAUACUAAAAAUAAUACUAAAAAAUAAUACUAGAAUAAUAUACUAGCAAAAUAUAUUUCAUAACAAUUCAAAACACUACAAUUCAUAAUAUACUAGAAUAGUAUACUAAAAAGUCUUUUAAGCCAAGUAAUACACUAGAAUAAUAUACUAAAAAAUAAUACUUUAAAAUAAUACUAGAAUAAUAGUACAAACAAUAAUAUAUACAAAACUCUAGAAUUAAUAAUAUACUAGAAUAAUAUACUAAAAAGUAAUACUAGAAUAAUAUGCUAGCACAAUAUAUUUCAUAACCAUUCAAAACACUACAAUUCAUAAUAUACUAGAAUAAUAUACUAAAAAGUCUUUUAAGCCAAGUAAUACACUAAAAUAAUAUACUAAAAAAUAAUACUAAAAAAUAAUACUAGAAUAAUAGUACAAACAAUAAUAUAUACAAAACACUAGAAUUAAUAAUAUACUAGAAUAAUAUACUAAAAAGUAAUACUAGAAUAAUAUACUAGCACAAUACAUUUUAUAACAAUUCAAAACACUACAAUUAAUAAUAUACUAAAAUAAUAUACUAAAAAAGUAUUUUAAGCCAAGUAAUACACUAGAAUAAUAUACUAAAAAAAUAAUACUAAAAUAUAAUACUAGAAUAAUAGCACAAACAAUAAUACUAGAAUAAUAUACUAAACUAAAAUAUAUAUUACAGACUACAUGUAUACUAGAAUAAUAUACUAAAAAGUAAUACUAGAAUAAUAUACUAAAAACUAAUACUAGAAUAAUAUACAAGCAUGCAUUAUUUUUUAGUGUAUAAAUAUAUACUUAAAUAUAUAUACAAAUCAAAACACUACAAUUUAUAAUAUACAUAUAUUUUUUAGUGUAUAUAUAUAUAUAUAAUUCAGUGUGGUCUAGUGUGUGUAUAUAUAUAAUACAGUGUGGUUUAGUGUAUAUGUAUAUAUAUAUAUAUUUUUAGUAUACUUAAUUAAUAUGUUAUAAUUCAUAACAAUUCAGUGUGGUAGUGUAGAGGGAUGGCCGGAGUACGUGAUCUAGCGCGCGUAAAGAUGGCCGGAGUUCUCGGUGUGUCGUCCACGUACGGCGCAGCGACGCUGGUGGAGAUCGAUGGCCGCAGCGGCGAGCUGGAGACGGCGGCGCGACGCUAGAGACGAGGUCACGCGGCGCUGCAGUAGACGAACGGCCGGCGGCGCAGGAGACUAGGGCUGCUCGACGAAGACGAAGGAACUGUUUAGAUCCAGCGCGUAUAUGCGCUUAUAUAGGGGCAGACCCUUUAGCACCGGUCCGUAGCUGGAACCGGUGCUAAAGGGUCUUUAACACCGGCUGGUAACACGAGCCGGUGUUAAAGGGUGACCCUUUAGCAUCGGCUCGUGUUACCAGCCGGUGCUAAAGAGACCCUUUAGCAUCGGUUUUAGCCACGGGCCGGUGCUAAAGGGUCCUUAGACGGGCUCGGAUGGGGUUCUGAAAUUUUCAUUUUGAAGACCCGUUAGCACCGGUUCCAACCAUGAGCCAGUGCUAAAGGGUAUGUUUUUUAGUUUAGGGUUUUUAAAGUGUUUAUAUAUACACUUUACAUUAUAAAUUGUAUAGUAAAUUAAAUAUUUUGUAUAAUAUUUUUUAAAAAGUGACAUGUAUUGUAUUUUUUUAAUGUACACAUAAAAAUUUUUAACCUUAAAUAUCUUACUAUAUUUUUUAAAUUUGCAAUAAUUUUGUAAGUAAUGUUUAGUAUUUUGUUAAUGAAAAAAUAUAUUAUUCCAAUAAAUUUACAAAAACUAUAUCCAAUCAACUGGAAAUCUAUUUUCACAUCAUAUUGACGUUAAACUUUUUAUUUUUGUCAUUUAUUACUCAGAAUGCUAGUACGGUACAAUUUUCAUCAAAUAAAAAAUCUAUUUAUCAUAUAAAAAUGUAGAUCUUGAUGAAUACACCCUUUGACCAAACCCUAGAUGGUCCCAACUAGAAAAGUCAUGAAUACAAAGUUUGUUACACUCAUCAAGUUCUACAUUUGGUCUAAUGGUCAACUUUUCAUUUGGAAAAGUUUGAAAUCACUCAAUUUUGAAUUUUGAAAGAAUUCAUAGGCACGCAUCGGUUUCGGAACCCUAGAUGGUCUCGAAUGGAAAAGUCAUGAAUACCAAUAUUGUUCCACUCAUCAAAAUCUACAUUUAAUAUAUAGACCAUUUUUGCAUUUGACAAAGUGUUGGGAAGGUGUAGUUGAAAAUCCAUAACUGACAUAUGUAGUUUCAUAUAGUUUGUGUGAGAUUAAAGAUUUGGUGGGUAUUGUUAACUUAAACUUUCUCAAAUGGAAAAAUUUUGUAUAUAAAAAGUUUAUAUCUUGAUGAUAUCUAAUAACUUGGUAUUCAAAAUUUUUUCAUUUUAAGUAAUUUAGUUUGUCAUUUGACCAAAACCCGUGUUGGAUUUUAAAGAAAUGUGCUUAGGAUUGGCUCAAAUUUAUCCAAAUGGAAAAAUGGACAAUAUAUCAAAUGUAGAUCUUGAUGAUCUCUAACAACUUUGUAUUCAUUUUUUUAUUUGAAGUCAUCAAAUGGGUCAUUUAACCAAGUUUGACCAAAGUCAAAGCAUUGGUUUUUACAAACACACCCUUUGACCGAACCCUAGAUGGUCCCAAAUGGAAAAGUCAUGAAUACAAAGUUUGUUACACUCAUCAAAAUUCACAAUUCUCAAAUAUAGUUUCAUACAAUUCUUAGUAUUCGUACAUUUUACAACACAUACUAUUAAACAUAACUUUAUAUUAAGCCGACACAAUAGUGAACUUCUUCUUGAUGUAUGACCCUUGGUUAUGAUCCUGCCGUAACCAUGGAGUAUCCUCAUUGUUUAACAGAAUGCUUGGGUCUUUGUUGACUAUGAAGGGCGGAAUUCGAUCAUCCCUUUCGUAAUCGCCUGACAUGUCUGACUUGUCCUCAAUUCCGACAAUGUUUCUUUUCCCAAAAAGGACAAUGUGGCGCUUUGGCUCAUUGACGAUUGAGUGGUCAUCAUUUUUUCCUCUCUUUGGUUUCGUAGACAUGUCUUUCACAUAGAACACCUGACUCACGUCUGCAGCAAGGACGAAUGGUUCGUCUUUGAACCCACUAUUGUUAAGGUCCACGGUUGUCAUCUCAUACUCCUUAUUGACUAUUACCCCACCUCCGGUCAUCUUCACCCAUUGGCACCGGAACAAAGAAACUUUAAAAUUAGCUGCAUAGUCUAGUUCCCAUAUGUCUUCUAUGCGUCCAUAAUAUGUUUGUCUGUUCCCAUUUGGAUCCAUGGCAUCCACACGUACACCACUAUUUUGGUUGGUGAUCCUUUUAUCUUGGCCAACUAUGUAAAAUGUGUUACCAUUUAUCUCAUACCCUUUGUACGUGAGGACAUGCCAUGAUGGUUUCCUGGCCAACAAAUAAAGCUGCUCAUUAAUGUUUUCAUCACCCUGACAUUUUUUGUGCAACCAAUCGCCAAAAGUUUCCUUGUGCUGAUGCAUUAUCCAAGCUUCAUUCUUCCUAGGCCAUUGGGACCGUAGGAAAUCUUUGUGUACCUCAACAUAUGGUUCCACCAAUGAGGAGUUCUGGAGAACUGUGUAGUGUGCUUUAUUGAAGUAAUCGUCACCCGUACCAAUAUAUGUUUUCUUCCCAAAUGUUCCUUUUCCGCUGAGUCUGCCCUCGUGUCGAGAUUCAGGAAUGCCAAUUGGGUCAAGGUCUAGAAUAAAGUCAACAUAGAACUCUAUGACCUCCUCUAUUCUGUAGCCCUUGGCAAUGCUUCCUUUUGGGCGGGAACGACUAUGGACAUAUUUCUUUUGGACACCCAUGAAUAUCUCAAAGGGGAACAUGUUGUGUAGGAACAUAGGAUCGAGAAUACGAAUCUCUUUGAUCAGAUGAACUAGGAGGUGUGUCAUGAUAUCAAAGAAGGAUGGAGGGAACACCAACUCAAAGCUGACGAGACAUUGAACGACAUCAUUCUAUAGAGUAGCUAGUUGCUCUAGAUUGAUUGCCUUCUGAGAAACUGCAUUGAGGAAUGCACAUAGCUUUACGGUGGCUAGACGUACGUGUGGAGGUAAAAUUCCUCUUAAAACCACCGGCAACAAUUGCGUCAUUAGAACAUGACAGUCAUGGGACUUUAAGUUCAGGAAUUUCGUCUCUGGCACAUUAAUUAUUACCUUGAUAUUGGAGGAGAAUCCAGAUGGGACCUUGAUGUUGCUAAGACAUUCAAACAUGCUUUCCUUCUCUUCUUUGCUCGGAGUGUAGCUAGCAGGGCUUAAGUAAUGACGUCCAUCAUCUGUCUUUUCUGGAUGCAGGUUGUCUCGUUCUUUCAUGCGCUGCAAGUCUUGUCGUGCUUCAAGUGAAUCCUUAGACUUCUCGUAGACACCCAUGAAUCCGAGCAAGUUCACACAAAGAUUCUUUGUCAGAUGCAUCAUGUCGAUCGCGUUGCGGACCUCUAGGACAUUCCAGUAAAGUAGCUCCCAAAAUAUGGAUUUCUUCUUCCACAUGGGUACGUGUCCCUUAGCGUCCUUGGGAAUAGGUUCGCUGCCUCAUCCCUUUCCAAAUACCACUUUUAUAUCCUUGACCAUUUCGAGUACAUCAUUCCCAGUUCGAUUGAGAGGCUUGGUCUGGUGGUCUGCCUUGCCUUUGAAAUGCUUGCCUUUCUUUCGUACUGGGUGGUUCACAGGAAGAAACCGACGGUGGCCAAGGUACACGACCUUUCGACAUUUUUUCAAAAAUACACAGUCAAUGUCUUCAUAACAAUGUGUGCAUGCAUUAUAUCCCUUGUUUGAUUGGCCUGAAAGAUUACUCAGAGCUGGCCAAUCAUUGAUUGUUACAAACACCAAUGCUCACAGGUCAAAGUGCUCUUGUUUGUACUCAUCCCACACGCGAACUCCUGGUUUGCUCCAUAAAAGUUGAAGUUCCUCAACUAAUGGCCUUAGGUAGACAUCGAUGUCGUUGCCAGGAUGCUUCGGUCCUUGGAUAAGCACCGGCAUCAUAAUAAACUUCCGCUUCAUGCAUAGCCAUGGAGGAUGGUUGUAGAUACAUAGAGUAACUGGCCAAGUGCUGUGACUACUGCUCUGCUCACCGAAAGGAUUCAUACCAUCUGUACUUAAGGCAAACCACAAGUUUCUAGCAUUAUCUGCAAAAUCUGGGAAUUCUCUGUCUAUCGCUCUCCACUAGGAUCCAUCGGCAGGGUGUCUCAGCAUAUUGUCUAUCUUACGGUCUUCUUUAUGCCACCGCAACAACUUUGCAUUGUCCUUAUUUCUGAACAGACGUUUUAAUCGUGGUAUUAUAGGAGCAUACCACAUACCUUGGCAGGAAUUUUCUUCCUAUGACAUUCUUCACCCUCAACAUCGCCAGAAUCAUCUCGCCUGAUCUUAUACCGUGAUGCCUUACAUACUGGACAUGCAUCCAAAUUCUCGUAUUCCUCCCCACGGUAGAGGAUGCAGUCAUUAGGACAUGCGUGUAUCUUCUGGAUUUCUAAUCCCAAAGGGCAGACAACCUGUUUUGCUUCAUACGUAGUGGUGGGCAAUUCGUUGCCUUUUGGAAGCAUCUUUUUUAUGAUCUUCAAUAACUGCCCAAAUGCCUUGUCAGAUGUACCAUUCUUUGCCUUCCAUUGCAGCAAUUCCAGUAUGGUACCUAGCUUUUUUUCCCCUCUUCAGCGGUGGGAUAUAGCGAUUUCCUGUGGUCCUCUAGCAUGCGCUCGAACUUGGCUUUCUCUUUCUCACUUUCACAUUCUCUUUGUGCAUCACGGAUGGCAUCACCAAAAGCAUCAUCGCCCCGAUCAUCUUCUGUGCUACCUCUUAUUCAUUAUCUCCCCCCAUUGCAACAUCAUUGAAGCCACCGUACUGAGCAAUAAUGUUGGCGUGGUCCAAUUCUUCUUCUUCACCUUCAUCCAUUAUAAUCCUGCUUUCUCCAUGCUUGGUCCAACAAAUAUAGUUUGGUACGAAACCAGACUUUAAUAAGUGCGAAUGAAGAGUUCUUCAAUAUUCUGUCAAAUUCUUGCACACGGCACAUGGAUAGCACAUGAAACCGUCCCUUUUAUUUUUCUUGGCCACACUAAAAGGUCGAGAUGGUGGACUAGAGGGGGGUGAAUAGUCCUUUCUAAAAACUAUCGUACCGGCUAACCAAAACAAAUGCGGAAUUAAAUCUAUCGGCCUAGCCAAGACUACACCCCUCUAUCUAAGUUCUCUAGCACCUUGUAAAAGAUCCUAAACAAGAAAACAAGGUGCUACCUUAGCAAGAGCUCACCUAACCAAUUCUAGAAGCAAGGUCACACAAACCUAUGCAACUAGUACUUUGCAAACCGAGGGAGCUCCUACACAAACAAGUGAGGCAAAGCGCACAAAGCCUAAGCUCACUAGCAAGCUCAAUAACAAGGCAACUAAUGCCAAAUUAGAGAGCGCAACUUACUUAGCUACACAAACUAAGCAAUGUGACUAACAAGGUUACACAAACCAAAUUAGUCACGCAAGCGAACUACUUCUAGCUACACAAGCAAGAAGGUAACUAGCAAGCUACACAAGCUAACUAAUUACAAGAGCAACUACACAAGCACAAAUAUAUGAAUGUAAAUACAAGCUCGUAUAUAGCGAAUGCAAACCACCGAGAAGAGUAGACAAUGUUGACACGGUGAUUUUUACCGAGGUUCACUUGGUUGCCACCAAGCUACGUCCUCGUUGUGGCGAUACACCCACUUGAUGGAUCACGAGCUAAUUGGCAUUCAAAGCCAAACCCUCAGCGGGUGCCGCACAUCCACUCUCAAGAUGGGGAUCCUCCAAGCCACAAGAAAUCCACUAGAGUUGCUCUUCGCAAUCUCUGUGGGGUGAGCACCGUACCCCUCACAAUCUCUUCUCCGAAGCACCGCACAAUCUCCUUGCGUGCUUCGACGGAGUCACAAGCCACCAAGCCAUCUAGGAGGUGGCAACCUCCAAGAGUAACAAGCACCACCGGCUUGCAACACGAACACCUAGUGCCACUCGAUGCAAUCUCUCAAUGCAACGCACUAGAAUCGCUCACUCACACAAUCGGAUGAUCACUAUCAAGCAUAUGUGAGUUAGAGGCUUCACUAGCACUCCCUAACCAUGGACACUAAAUCCCAAGGGUGCUCAGCACAAGCCAAGGCCGGCCACCACUUCUAUUUAUAGCCCCAAGGGCUAAACUAGCCGUUGCCCCUUCACUGGGCAAAACACGUGGGCACCGGACGCUCACAGGGAGCCACCGGACGCUCAACCCCCAGCGUCCGGUGCUCAGGCGUCAGCCAUGUGUCACUAGCCAUUUGAACUCGACCGUUGCCGCCAACGGCUACUGCGCACGUGCGCCUACACAGUACCAUGUUGGGUAUUUUAAACGCAAACAGAAAAAUCCGCAAGCGCACGGAUACCGAUGUAGCUUUCACCCGGGAGUAUUCCAGAGUAUCGAUUUUCCACAGAGAACGUGAGUGUACUAAUUAAGAUCCAAGAUCGCCCAAGGAUAACUAUAUAAUUAUUUUUGGUGGGAAGAGAGGAAGUUUCCUGAGUGUUCUCUAGUUGAUCUAAGAAUCAAGAAUUACUUCAAGAUUAUCUAUAUCGGGACAUCAGAGCACUAACCACAGAAAGAGAUGAGAAGGGGGCUAGGAAGGUCUGACUACGGUCCUACAAACACCGAUCCGAACGUGGUGGAAUACGUCGACCGUUAGGGCUGUCACUACCCUAAGGCUACCACAACAAUCCGCAGGAUUGGGUGCAAUUCCAGGUAAUUGCAAGACUAAACACCACGUCUAAUCUAUUAAUUACUACUCUAGCGUUAUAAAGACUAGAGCACUUGAUGCAAGCGGGAAUCCAAUAAAUAACUUGAAUGUAAAUAAAAGUAAUUAAAGAACUCAGGAUUAUGAAUUGAAGAACCUGGAGAACGAUGAAGAAUGAACCAGUUGCUGCAAAAAUUUAAUGUUGAGGAAGAUCCGACAGAUCCGGGUCCUCCUCCGCUCUCCUCUUCUCUCUCCCUAUUUUCUAGACUACAACUAGAACUAACUAGAACUAGAACUAGAGGAACUAGAACUAGAACUAGAUGAACUAGAACUAGAACUAGAUGAACUAGAGGUAGAACUAGAAGAACUAGAGGGAUCCUCUCUACUUGGAUGAAGAAUUGAAACCCUAACUUUGAUUCUGUAGAAGAGGUAUGCUCUCCAGGGGCCAGGGGGCCUUGCUUAUAUAGUCUUUUCAGAUGAAUCUGGGCCGUCGGAUCGAACCGACAUUAAUCGCACAGUUUUCCUUGGUCCCUUAGGUCGGUGGAGCACGAUCCGCGAAGUUGAAGCUGAUUGGUUACUGUAGCUGGGCGGGCACCCAAGGGACUUGGGCGGGCGCCCUGCCCCCGGGCCCGAUCGGCCUCCCGUUCGUUCCCGUGGCUUCUGGAGUCUUCUAGAUGGUAGAAAAUUGCGCGGCACGUUAAUAUCUCUAUGUAAACCCGACGUGUGGGCUUUUCUUUCAUAUUUCCUGAUAACCUCCUGCAGAAAUAGACAAACACCAAAACUCGUGGAAUUCUGUCAGAUAAAACCCUAAGUCUAGGUGUUGGCUGCAUAUAAGUCUUUUUCCAUGAUUAGUUGAUGGUUAAAUGUGAGCAUUAAGGACCGUCAACAAGCUCCCCCAAGCUUAACCUUUGCUCGUCCCUGAGCAAAGAUGAACUCAAGAAUUUCUGCAGUGGUUUCAAUACAUGCGUUCAAACAAGAUCUCAUCUCUGGGUUAGGGUAAAUUGUUAAGAUUUAAAUUUACUCAUUUUUCCUUCCACCAUGGGGCUUGCAACCGUCACUUGUGUCUUGAGUAGUUAAAAGAUAGAACAGUCUAGUCAAGCGCUAUGUCUCUUGUUCUUCGAUUAACUAUAGCUCUGGAGUUUUUGCAGAUUUUCAAAUAAAACUCAGAGAUUCCUUGUAUGACUCUCUCUAGUCUCUCUUUUGUGGUAUUUCUGGAUCCUUACCAAGGCAGUAAUGGUGUAUGCCUUCUCUCAAAGUAUGUGGUAUUUUUGGUAUGAGGCAUAGUGACAUUGCUUUCUCUCUCACCCUACUCUAAUAAGGCUUUUGAUAUCUGGAGCUCAUUGGUGGGAGAUAGCUAAUACAUACUUACAAGACAUUUAUUGCAUAGUCAAACUAUGGAUCCAGAAGAACAAGUCAAUAAGUCAAAUCAAGAUGUGCAUGUGUGGCGAAUGAAUGGUGUAUGGUGAUGAUUGAUAACAAUAGUGAAAGUCUAAUUCUACUUAUGCUCUUUUGAGGGGAUACAUACUUUUCUUGCUCUUUUGAAACUUUUUGAGGGGAAUAAGAUGCUCUAUAUUUUCUUUUCUUUUUUUUCUUUUCUCUCAGGUGGGUAUCUUGUACCCCUAAUUCUACUGUCGCACACUUGUCCAUUUUUACCUCUCGUCUCACUUUUUCUUUUCUUUCGAGGUUCCGGGCACUUGCCCCUUUUUAUUUCCUCGUAUCUUUUUUUUCUCUUUUUUUAGAGCACUCAUCUCCUUAAAUAAUAUAGCAAGUGGUAGUAACCAAGAUAACUCGAGCAUUUAUUGCAUAGGGAAUAACAAGGAUAGGAAAAUAUUUUUGGCUAUUCUCUCCCGGAUUAGGAGUAGAAUACUUUUGGGUGAAUCUGGAGAUGGAAGUGAGUGGAUAUAUGUGGAUGCGUACUUCCGGAGUAGAAGCAACAUGUGUGAGUGAACGUGCAAGUGAAUCUUGAUUCUAACCGCAUGACAAGCUCCUAAGGGUCUACACAGCUUGACCACACUCAAUGCUCAUAAGUAGUAAAAAGUAAAUGUGUGGCUCAAAGUCUAGCAAACAUGUAUAUAUGGCUGUGGUAGGAAUUUAAACUCUCAUCAUACAGGAACUCAUCAUGUGAUAUUUUGAAGAUUUUCAAAGAUAAAAUUCUCUAGAAUUCUAGCAUCUCUAGGAACAGAUAAACAGCAGCUCAACCUUCCCAUAUCAUAUCCAUUAACAACUUAGACUUUAGAUCAAGUACUCUUCCCACAAGUUCAGGUUUAGAGCAAGUCUUAAUUAAUAACAGUCAUGCCUAAACUUGAAAGAGAUUUCAAUUUUAAGAACUAGUCAUGGCAGAGCAACUAUUCAUCAUUUCCACGUGACAGCUUAUCAUGAGGGUUCAUAGCAAACUUUAUUUAUUUAUUUAUUUAGCAAACUAAACAAAGAUAUAUAUAAGCACAAAAUCUUUAUUUGGGUUUUUAUGAUUAUGCAUCUUUUUAUUAUUUGAGUAAAAUAUAAACAUGAGUAGAGCACUUAACUGGAUAAAUGGUGGUGCUCUCCCCCAAGCUGGAUUUUGCCGUAAUUCCUUCUGAUGUAGCUAGCAGGUGGCGGAGGUGUAUUUGAAUGUUGGUAGCCUCCUGACAGCGAUUCGGAUGUCCUCUGUCUACUAGUCUUCUUUGAUCCUUGAAUUCUGUGGAGCUCAAAUAGACAACAAAGCUUUGUGGAACUAGUUAAGUGUUAACAUAAAUAUCUAGCCUUUAUCAUGUUGAGCCUCCUUAAUAAAUGUUACACUCUUUAGUAGGAUCACAAUCUUAUUUUUACAAUUUUAUUUUUAUAGGACAGGAAUAUAUUUAUUUCAUUUUUAUGCCACCACAGUGAAUGUACUUAUGGGUUUUAUGCCAUGAGCAUAAUCACAUGGGGCUUACUAUUUUUAACAUUUUUAUUUUCUUUUCAAGAUGAUAUGAACCUGAUUAACUAAGCAAACUAUUUUAAAAUAAUUGAAAGGAAAAAGAUAACUACCAAGUUUACCUCUUGGCAAGGCGUUCGGUGUUUUUAAGUCCUCCGAACGGGUCUCUCCGUUUUCUCUGUCGUCCUAGGAUUCGCUGGAUGGUGUAGUCGGUGGUUCCGGCGGCGCCUCCUCUUCGUGUAUAACUAUCUUUUCUCUCCACACCUGACUCGGUGCUACGGUCUCCUCAGGACAGUUCUGUUUAAGUUGUAUGUCUUCAGAUCUUACCACUUCUCCUUCGUAGUCUGCCCAUCCAUCCUUGAUGAUUUGCCUCCUCUGGUUGCGGUUGCGUCGUCUUCUUUGUCUUGACCUGCUUAGAGUCUUCAUAUAUAUAUAGUUAGGGUCAGUAAAAUAGCGGCGUACCUUCUCAGAGGGGAAGUGCAUGUGGACUUCUCCGGUUCCAAUGUAGAUGAUUGCUUUAACGGUGCUGAGGAACAGUCUUCCAAGGGUGAUGGGUGGAUUGUACUUGUCUUCUUCCAUGUCAAUAACCUUAAAAUCAUCUGGAGCUAAAUGUAUGUCGGUUUUAGUGGCAUGGUUCCGAAUAGGAGCUGAUAGGUGACUGGGUCGUCCUUUUUGGUCAGGAACGGUGACUUAAGUCAACGAUCUUGACCUCCUUAAACUGCAGUGACCAUCUUGGUUGACUCGGUCCACAUUUGCUUGUUCCUGUUCCUCCUGUUGGUCAUCUUCCUUGGUUCAUGUCGGGAUUGCUCUGAGAUUUGUAUAGUCUUGUUCUUGAAGGAAAACGUCUCCUUCCUCUCCUUGAUGUAGAAACUGAUCUUGACAGCACUAGCAUAGAUGACAGCUCCCGAGGUGUUCAGGAAUGGCCUCCCUAGGAUGAUGGGUGCCCUCUCGUCAGUAUCAGUCUCUAUCACCACGAAGUCUGCUGGAGCGUAUAAGGUACCAACUCGGACAUAGAGGUUAUUCAAUAUUCCCUUUGGGAAACUUAGUGUCUGAUCUGCAAGCUGCAAACACAUGGUUGUUUCUAGGAAAGGAUGUGUAAAGAAUUUUUCAUAGAGUACCCUGGGCAUAAUGUUGACGCUGGAGCCAAGGUCGCAGAGUGCUUCUAGGAAGUCCACCAUGCCGAUGGAGAUCGGGAUGACGAGGCGUCCUGGAUUGUCUCUCUUGACCGGCAGAAGGUCAGUAAUUACUUCCACAGCAGGGUUACUCCAGUAGUUACGUCCUCAAGCAUCUCAGGGCAGUGAUUGCCUGAGUGUCCAGUAUCCCCAGUGUGUUUGAGCUCGUAGAUCUAGGUUCUUCACUUGGUGGAGUGUGGGAGUUGUAAAAGUCCUUCAUAUUUUGCUCGAAGUGUACCUGCUCGUAGAGACAAGGGAGAGAUCAAGUGCAUGGGCCCUGUUGGUGGAAAACACCAACAGAACCAAAAGUGUAUUUGUGCUUCUCUACCCUUAAGCAUAGUGAGCAAGACAAAGUUGAUGGAUAAUAAGAUCAUGAGUGCAGCAUUUAAAAUAUUUGUCAGAUCAGAUUGCUCAACCUAAUGGAAAGAUAAUCUCUCUAUAGUUAUGUUGUUUUUUUAUAUAUCUUCCAAAGAUUGAGCGUGCAACAUUUUAGCUCAUAAGAUUAGGAGUGUGGGAUCACAAAGAUGGAAGGACUACACAUGUUGAAUCGAUUGGGUUGGUUAAUCUAGAGUUGUAAAUCAUACAUGUUUGUCUCUUUUAUUCAUGUGAACGCCAGAACCAAGGAGAAGCUUGUAGAAGUGAAAGUCAAGUACCUUAAGAUGUUACCUUACUUGAAGAGUGAUGGUACAGUAUCACCUUGUGGAAGCUCUCCUUUCUUAGUGGUUGUGCAUCAUGUUUGUGGCACCCUCCAUGGAUCAUCUCUUGUGAGGUAUGCCUUCCUUGUGUAAAUUGUUAAACUUCAUGUGUCUCUCUCUUUGUCUCCAAUGUGAGUUUAUCUCUGGACUUCCCAGGUUGAUAUUGAAAGUUUUCCUGCAGGGGUUAGUCCAACAAAAUAUCCAGUAUCUACUAUAGCAUAAUAUUGGCUCAAAGAUUAACCUAGACACCAUGUCUAAUUUGAUUUAGGAGGGCAUUUUAACCUAAGCAUCAUGCUUAAUUUAAACUCCCUUUGAAGUAAGAUCAUCAGCCCUAAACUAAGCACCAUGCUUAAUUAAGAGAUAAAUGAAACUACUCAAAACCUAGACAUAUACUAAAGCAAAUAAAGGUAGCAUCAGAGCGUUUAUAGAGAUCUACUCAAGUGGAGAUGAAGUAGUGUGAUUAGUAUUUAACAAAUUGAGCAUGUCUCAAAGGUAGGGACAACCAACAUAGCAACAUGGCAAAGGAUGUUUGUAUGUAAAGUACUCCCCCAAGCUUGAAUUUUGCAAAAUUCAAGUUUGGAUGAAUUUAAUUCAAUGUUAUAUGAUGAUUGGUUGGACAUACCUUGUGCUUGUCAUUCAUCCGAUCUUCUUGCUCCAAUCCUGGAAAGGUUAGUGACAAGAAUACCCGAAGGAAUAUUUUUACAAUUAUCCUUAUAUGCUCAACACACAAGGUAAUGUUGCAAAUAAUUAAAAGCUCAUAUUACAAUCUGAUCAGUGCUUGUUUUAGGACACUAAGCUUGUCCUUGGGAAACCAUCAAUUUAUGUCAGUGAAGUGGUUUCCCCUCCAAUGCUGACCUAUAUCAAGAUCAACUCAAUGACAUCUAGAAAAUUUAUUAUAGACAUAUGCAUCGACAACUGCCCUUUUAAAGUUUUUAUAAACAAAAAGGAUGCGGGGGUUGGAGAUCUCGAAUGUGGUGAUGUUGGAGAGACCAAUGGAUUGUGAAGAUGUUGCAUAUGAGCAUGGAGUAAAUGAAGUGGCAAUGAAAUAAAUUCCAUGCUCAUUAAUGCUUAGAGUGAAAUCCAUGUGGUAUGGUGAAAAUGAUAAGGUGAGUGUGGUAAAAAAAGAAAAGAAAAAGGAUACACGGAUGACUUGGUUCGAAACUAGCACAGCUACCGUUCCCCGGCAACGGCGCCAGAAAGCUUGUUGGGUAUUUUAAACGCAAACAGAAAAAUCCACAAGCGCACGGAUAUCGAUGUAGCUUUCACCCGGGAGUAUUCCAGAGUAUCGAUUUUCCACAGAGAACGUGAGUGUACUAAUUAAGAUCCAAGAUCGCCCAAGGAUAACUAUAUAAUUAUUUUUGGUGGGAAGAGAGGAAGUUUCCUGAGAGUUCUCUAGUUGAUCUAAGAAUCAAGAAUUACUUCAAGAUUAUCUAUAUCGGGACAUCAGAGCACUAACCACAGAAAGAGAUGAGAAGGGGGCUAGGAAGGUCUGACUACGGUCCUACAAACACCGAUCCGAACGUGGUGGAAUACGUCGACCGUUAGGGCUGUCACUACCCUAAGGCUACCACAACAAUCCGCAGGAUUGGGUGCAAUUCCAGGUAAUUGCAAGACUAAACACCACGUCUAAUCUAUUAAUUACUACUCUAGCGUUAUAAAGACUAGAGCACUUGAUGCAAGCGGGAAUCCAAUAAAUAACUUGAAUGUAAAUAAAAGUAAUUAAAGAACUCAGGAUUAUGAAUUGAAGAACCUGGAGAAUGAUGAAGAACGAACUAGAUGCUGCAAAAGUAUAAUGUUGAGGAAGAUCCGACAGAUCCGGGUCCUCCUCCGCUCUCCUCUUCUCUCUCCCUAUUUUCUAGACUACAACUAGAACUAGAACUAGAGGAACUAGAACUAGAACUAGAUGAACUAGAACUAGAACUAGAUGAACUAGAGGUAGAACUAGAAGAACUAGAGGGAUCCUCUCUACUUGGAUGAAGAAUUGAAACCCUAACUUUGAUUCUGUAGAAGAGGUAUGCUCUCCAGGGGCCAGGGGGCCUUGCUUAUAUAGUCUUUUCAGAUGAAUCUGGGCCGUCGGAUCGAACCGACAUUAAUCGCACGGUUUUCCUUGGUCCCUUAGGUCGGUGGAGCACGAUCCGCGAAGUUGAAGCUGAUGGUUACUGUAGCUGGCGGGCACCCAAGGGACUUGGGCGGGCGCCCUGCCCCCGGCCCGAUCGGCCUCCCGUUCGUUCCCGUGGCUUCUGGAGUCUUCUAGAUGGUAGAAAAUUGCGCGGCACGUUAAUAUCUCUAUGUAAACCCGACGUGUGGGCUUUUCUUUCAUAUUUCCUGAUAACCUCCUGCAGAAAUAGACAAACACCAAAACUCGUGGAAUUCUGUCAGAUAAAACCCUAAGUCUAGGUGUUGGUUGCAUAUAAGUCUUUUUCCAUGAUUAGUUGAUGGUUAAAUGUGAGCAUUAAGGACCGUCAACAAGCCACUGGACGCUCUACUGCGUCACACCGGACGCGUCCGGUGCACACCGGACCCAUGUGCAGAGAGCUCCGCAAACUCGCACAGUCACCGGACGGACCCUGAGCGUCCGGUGCUCACCGGUCAGAAACUCCUCGCGCACACUCGCUGACAUCACACACCACCAGACGCUCGAACAGUAACCGCCCACCGUCCGGUGCCAGCGUCCGGUGCGCUCUACACACCUGAGCCACAGACACCACACCGGACGCUCUGGACCAGCGUCCGGUGCUGCCAACACCAGCGUCCGGUGCUCCCGCAACUUCUCCAAAAUUCCCACCGGCGCAAUAGAAAAUAUACACUUAAUUUUCUCAAAAGCGCCGAAUCCCGCCGAGGAACCCACACCCCUCUCAACCCUAGGAACUCCACCUCCUUUGUAAAUGUGCCAACACCACCAAGUGUACACCACCAUGUGCAAGUGUGUUAGCAUUUUCACAAACAUUUUCCCAAAGGAGUUAGCCUCUCAAACUUGCCGCGCCACUCGAUCCUAACACAUAUGCAAAGUUAGAUCGCUCAAGUGGCACUAGAUGACCGAUAUGCAAACAAGUUUGCCCCUCUUGAUAGUACGGCCAUCUAUCCUAAAUCCGGUCAUAAACUUCUCUACACACCUAUGACCGGUGAAAUAGAAAAGCCCUAGGUUAUACCUUUGCCUUGCGCUUUCCAUUCCAUCUCCUCCAAUGUAGAUGCAACACAUGCACCAACCCAUCACCAAAUGAUAUGAUCCUCUUCAUAUCAUCAUGUGACUGUAUUGGUUCAUCGAUCUUGACCUCACUUGCUCUUCACCGUUGCCUCGGUCCAUCAGCGCCAAGUCUUGCUCAAGCUUCACCGUCACACGCGGUCCCUCGCUUCAAAGCCUCUGACUUUCCCUUCACUCUUGCAACCGGUCCAUCAAGCCAAGCCACAUCUUGAUCUUUUCCACCUUGGUCACAUGACUCCAUGUCAUGUCUCAUAUGCAAUGAGCUCCUCCAUCAUCAUAUAAUCACCUGUGGACUAAUCUCCUAUGUAUCUCACAUAAACACUAUUAGUCCACCUAAGUUGUCACUCAAUUACCAAAACCAAACAAGGACCUUUCACACACUUAAGAAAUAAUGCACGCCAUUAAUGAACUCUUCGGAGCGCCGAUCGGCAUUAUACAACCAAUUACGUGUUACCAUCUGCAUUAAAUAUAACAUAUAUAUUAUGAAAACCAUGCACACAUAUAGUUUCUCAUCUUAUUGCACAAUAUGUCUAACACACAUAGUUGAUUAAUUCAAGCAAGCUUGGCUACAACAAAUACAAUCGCAACUAGCACUAAAAAACCAAAACUAAAAUGCACUUAAGCAACAUAAUUAGUUCGAGUCUCAUCCCAACUAUAAUAGAUAGAUAAUUUGCUUGAUCAACAUCAUUGAACUCCUUUUGCCGGCUCACUGCCUCAUCACCUUCAGCCUCAACCACCUGUGCAAAAGAUUUCUUGAUGUGUUGAAUGUAUUCUUCCUUCCAGUACCAACCUGUACAUCCGCCGGUACCGUCCCACUGAAAUUAAAAGAGAGAAUCAAAAGUUUAAUUAAUAUCAUUAAAAAAAUAAGCACAUAUAUAAGCAAAUGUCUAGAAAUAACUCACAUUACGAUCCGGACACUUGUAGAAUAUAGGACCGUUGUUUACUCCCUCUUUCGACACUCUGUACUCCAUCACAAUCUUCUACCCACACUUGCCACAAGCAAUGAGAGGGAGUUCCGGCCGGUAUCGCUUUUGAACCCGUUGAGAGACUGAAGACCCGGUCACGGUUGCCAUCUACUAUCCAUACUCAAUUUUUAAACAAUUAUAAAUUCCACAUUUACUAGUAAACAUGUAUGAUAAAAGAAGAACCUAAUAAUAUCCUUUAUUUGUCUAGUUACUUCAACAAAUCUUCUAAAUUAUACAAUGGACAUUAUGUAGUAAUAAAAACUUAUCAAGUGAUAUUAAUAAACCAAUUAAUUUGAACUAUCCUACUUUCUAAGAUCAUAAAAAGAUACUAUUGACAGUCCUUAAGUACCAAAUAUAAUCAGCAAAUAAACAAAGAAAAGGAUCCAAAUACAACCAACAUCUAAACUUAGGGUUUUAUCUGACAGAAAUCCACGAGUUUUGGUGUUUGUCUACUUCUGCAGGGGGUUAUCAGGAAAUAUGGAGAGAAGGCCCACACGUCGGGUUUACAGAGAGAUAUUAACAUGUCGCACAAUUUUCUAUCAUCUAGAAGACUACAGAAGCCACGGGAACGAACGGGAGGCCGAGCGGGCUCGGGGGCAGGGCGCCCGCCCACCCCCCUUGGGCGCCCGCCCAGCUACAAGUCCAAUCAGGAAUCUCUUCGGGGAUUACGCUCCACCGACCUAAAGGAUCAAGAAUAACCAUUCAAUCAAUGUCGGUUUGAUCCGACGGCCCAGGUUCACUUGAGGGGACUGUAUAACCAGACCCCCUGGCCCCUGGAGGAGGCACCCCUUGAUCAUUAUUCAUUAUUCAUAGAUAGAGCAAAAGCUAGGGUUUAGAGAUGAGAGCUCUCCUCUCUUCUCUAAACUAGAGUAGAUCUAGAUAGUAGCGAGAUGGAGAGCGAAGGAGGAUUAGAGGAGAGGCCGGCCUGUCGGUUCUUACUCCGGUUGUACUUCGCCAUGAUCAAGCUCUAAUCAAGUUUGCUCAUGGGAUGACUUUGGUAAUCUACUUCUAAUUCAUUAUGCAAUUACUAAUCAUGUAUGUUCUGGUUCACAACUCUUUUGAGUACUUCUAAUCCAUAGGGCCCUAUAGGUUAGAGUUGUAGUAUAGGUGUAGGUGUGGUGCUUAGACCUAGAUUACUUGUGGAUAUCCCCUGUCUAGCUGGAUCGUGUGGUAGGCCGCGUAGGUGACAGUUACAUUGGUUCUCUGUAGUCCACCUCUCGUUAGCAGGACGGGUAGGGUUUAUUGGCCUAUGUAUAAGCAUCCUUUGUGGUGUACUCUUAUCACGUGGUUCGUCCUAGACAUAGACAUACCCCUUUGAAGAAGAGAAACCAUAGUUAUCCUCUCUAUUCUACUACCAUCGCCCAUAUAUUAGAUUGCUCUACUCUCUAUUCCCAUAUUAUCACCCACUGUUAUCUUACCUUUAAUAUUGUUCUUAUUCAAUUCUACCAUCUUUCCUAUUUACACCUAUCUAUUUAUCUUGGUUAAGUUAGAGCAUAGAUCAGUUCUCCCGUUUCCCUGUGGAUACAAUAAAACCUUUAACUGGGUAAAAGGCUACAACGGUAUGCAUGCGCUUGCGGAUUUAUCUGUGUGCGUAUAAAUACCAUAGUACACUCUAGUGCCAUGCUAGGGAUGACAACCUAGUAUUCAAGUGGUGUUAGCAAGUGUCAACAAGCAUUUUUGGCGCCGUUGCCGGGGAAACGGUUGCUGAGUUGACUACGAACUAGCUUAAUCAUUUUCUAAAAAAAUAAAAUAUAUAUAUUUUUUUCCUUUUAUCUUUUGCCUUAUCUCUGCUAUUCUUUCUUCUUAUCUAAUCCUUGAUCUCUGGUCUAUUAUGAAUUCAAACAUGUCUAUCUAUGAAUUUCAUAGACCUGUGGGCACACAUCUCGAACCACCAAAAUCUUCAAAGCCUAUCAUAGCAUCUAGUUUUGAGAUAGACCCCGAAUACAUAGAAUUUGUUCAAAAACAACCUUUCUCAGGAGAAGGUUAGGAAAACCCAUACACUCACCUAAGAGAGUUUUAUCGAGUCUGUGACCUCCUUCGCAUAGAAGGCAUGUCCGAUGAGACCCUUAAAUGGAAGCUCUUUCCGUUCUCUUUAACGGGAAAAGCUAGACAUUGGUACAAACUCAAAGUAGGGAGUGUUCAUGGAGAUUGGAAGGAGUUAUAUAAUAGUUUUCUUUCUAAAUAUUUUCUAAUCUCCAAAGUGGCGGAACCUCGGCGUAAGAUUCUUUCUUUUAGACAACUAGAAGAAGAAUCUCUUGGCAAAUCAUAGGACCGCUUCAUUAACCUUACUCUCACUGGCCCAAAGCUUUCUAUUCCAGAAGAAGUUCUUCUAAUUCACUUUUUUGAGGGCCUUAGUAGGGAAAAUAAGCGAACCCUUCAUGCGGCCUCUGGAGGAUCUUUCCACCACCUAUCCGCUAGUGAAGCUUGGAAUUUGAUUGAUUUAAUGAGCGGAAAGUCUCCUAGCUUUUAUAUCCCUGAGAAAGAGAAAGAACCAGUUCCUAGACAAGAAGAAGAAGUUUCGAUAGCCAGAUCACAACCACUUCAAUCCCAAACUUUAGCUAUCGAUCCUAAACCAUCAAUACCCCAAAAUUCUCUAAGGGAGGAAGGAAUUCUGACCUUAAAUCUUUCAGAUACUGAUGGUUUAGACUUCUGGUUCCAUAAGAGACCUUCAAGCAGGGAUAAUUCAAAUCCUUGCAAUAAUGGUUCUCUUAGAGAAUGUCCUGGUUUCUGUUAUGAAGAAGUUGAGGAUGACAUAUCAAGUGAAGGAGAGCUAAACCAUAUAGAAAAUCCUAUCUGCUCCCCUUCCAUGUUCACAAAUUCUAAAUCCAUCCUUGACCUUAGAGACCCCUCUUAUCCCUCUCCUUUUAAGUCUCAUGAUGAUCCUAGCAAUCCAUCAAAAUGAUCAAACCAUAGGAGUCAUAAAGACCAUGAGGAUGACGUGUCAAGUAAUGUCAUAGAAGGAGAGCUAAGCCAUAUAGGAAAUUCUAACACCUCCCCUUUCCUGAUCACAAGUUCUAAAUGGCUAGAAUGUGUAGAAUGGAUGGAUAAGGAAGAAGACUUAAUGGAUUCUGACUUUGGCUCAAUUUCAAAUGGUGAGUUCUUGACUCCUUUUGAAGAUGAGAUUUAUCCAACUACAGAAGAGGACACAGGUGAGACCAAUUCAAGAGAAACUCCAAACAUUCAGAUUGGAGACGAAGAUAACAUUAAUGAGUAUGGAAUUUAUUUCAUAGCCACUUUGUUUACUCUAUGCUCAUAUGCAACAUCUUCCCAAUCUAUUGGUCUCUCCAACAUCACCACAUUUGAGAUCUCCAACCCCCUCUUCCUUUCUAUUUAUAAAAACUUUAAAAGGGCGGUUGUCGAUGCAUAUGUCUAUAAUAAAUAUUGCGGAUCUCGUUGAGUUGAUCUUGAUAUAGGUCAGCGUUGGAAGGGAAACCACUUCGCCGACAUAAAUUGAUGGUUUCCCAGGGACAAGCUUAGUGUCCUAAAAUAAGCACUGAUCAGAUCGUAACAUGAGCUUUUAAUUAUUUACAACAUUACCUUGUGUAUUUAGCAUAUAAGGAUAAUUAUAAAAAUAUUCCUUCGGGUAUUCUUGUCACUAACCUUUCCAGGAUUGGAGCAAGAAGAUCGGAUGAAUGACAAGCACAAGGUAUGUCCAACCGAUCAUCAUACAACAUUGAAUUAAAUUCAUCCAAACUUGAAUUUUGCAAAAUUCAAGCUUGGGGGAGUACCUUACAUAAAAACAUCCUUUGCCAUGUUGCUAUGUUGGUUGUCCCUACCUUUGAGACAUGCUCAAUUUGUUAAAUACUAAUCACACUACUCUAUCUCCACUUGAGUAGAUCUCUAUAAAUGCUGUCAUGCUACCUUUGUCUAUUUUCUAGCAAGUGUUGGUUUGGAAGUACUCGACAUACUUCCAUUGGCAUUUAAAUUGAGCAUGGUGCUUAGGUUAAAUAGCCUUCCUUAAUCUGAUUAGACAUGGAGUCUAGUUUGGUUACUGAACUAAAAACUGCUUGAGUAGAUAUUGGUAUAUUUUGUCGGACUAACCCCUAUAGGAAAACUUUCACUAUCAACCUGGGAAGUCCUGAGAUAAACUCACAUCAGAGAUGAAGAGAGUAACACAUGAAGUUUAACAAUUUGCACAAGAAGGACAUAGCUCAUUCACCAUACAGAGAUGAUCCAUGGAAGGAGACAAAGUACAUAAACAAGAUACACAACCACUACGAAAGAAAAGCUUCCACAAGGUGAUACUAUACCAUCACUCUUCAAGUAAGGUAACAUCUUAAGAUAUCUGACUAUCACUUUUAUAAGCUUCUCCUUGGUUCUGGCGUUUACAUAAAUAAAGAGACAAACAUGUAUGAUUUAUAACUCCAAAUUAACCAACCCAACUGAUUCAGCAUGUUUAGUCCUUUAAUCUUUGUUCCUAGUACUACCUCCAUGAUCCCACACUCCUAACCAUAUGAGCUAAAAUGUUGCACAUUUAAUCUUUGGGAAGAUAUAAAGAAAAAGGCAUAUAUAUAGAUAGAUUAUCUUUCCAUUAGGUUGAGCGAUCUGAUCUGGCAAAUGUUUUAAAUGCUACACUCAUGAACUUAUCAUUCAUCAACUUUGUCUUGCUCACCAUGCUUAAGGUUAGAGAAGAACAAAUACACUUUUGGUUCUGUUGGUGUUUUCCACCAACAGGGCCCAUGCACUUGAUCUCUGCCUUGUCUCUAUGAACAGGUACACUACGAGCACAAACACACUGAGCAAGAUACUGCCAACACCGCACUUCGAACUACUGGGCAAACGAAGAACAUGGGUGACACCGUAUUAAGAGGUGCAGACGUCAAGGUCCACACCUGAAUCAAAUGACACACCUGAAGAAUGAACACGGUGAGAAGUCUUGUUCAGAAGACUUAAAACAUUGAAUCCUCGCCGAAAGGUAAAAUCGGUAGUUAUCCAUAUUUAUCCUUUCUGCAUUCCCUUUUCCCAUUAAUUAUUUACUUUCCUUAAAUAGAUUAUUAGUUAAUCAUGCUAUCUUGAAAAUAAAAUAAAAAUGUUAGUAAGCCCCAUAUGAGUAUGCUCGUGGCAUAAAACCUAUAAGUACAUUCACUGUGGUGGCGUAAAAAUAAAUAUAUUCCUGUCCUAUAGAAAUGAAAGUAUAAAAAUAAAUUUAUGAUCCUACCAAAGAGAGUAAUAUUUAUUAGAGGAAGCUCAACAUGACAAAGGUUAAGAGAUUUUAUGCUAACACUUAACCAGUUCCACAAAGCUUUGUUGUCUGUUUGAGCUCCACAGAAUUCAAGGAUCAAAGAAGACUAGCAAACGGAGGACAUCCUAAUCGUUGUCAGGGUGCUGCCGACAUUACACCUCCACCACCUGCUAGCUACAUUAGAAGAAAUUACGUCAAAAUCCAGCUUGGGGGAGAGCACCCCCAUUUAUCCAGCUAAGUGUUUCUACUCGCGUUUAUACUUUACUCAAAUAAUAAAAAGAUGCAUAAUCAUAAAAACCCAAAUAAAGAAUUUGUGCUUAUAUAUAUAUCUAUGCUUAGUUUGCUAAAUAAAUAAAUAAAUAAAGUUUGCUAUGAACCCUCAUGAUAAGCUCUCACAUGGAAAUGAUGAAUAGUUGCUCUGCCAUGACUAGUUCUCAAAAUUGAAAUCUCUCUCAAGUUUAGGCAUGACUGUUAUGAAUUAAGAUUUGCUCUAAACCUGAACUUGUGGGAAGAGUACUUGAUCUAAAGUCUAAGUCGUUAACAGAUAUGAUAUGGGAAGGUUGAGUUGCUAUUUAUCUGUUCCUAGAGAUGCUAGAAUUCUGGAGAAUUUUAUCUUUGAAAAUCUUUAAAAUGUUGCAUGAUGAGUUCCUGUAUGAUGAGAGUUUAAAAUCCUACCACAGCCACAUAUACAUGCUUAUGAGACUAUGAACCAUACAUUUACUUUUUACUGCUUAUGAGCAUUGAGUGUGGUCAAGCUAUGUAGACCCUUAGGAGCUUGUCAUGCGGUUAUAAUCAAGAUUCACUUGCACGUCCACUCAUACAUGCUGCUUCUACUCUAGAAGUAUGCAUCCACAUACAUCCACUCAUUUCCAUCUCCAGAUGCACCCAAAAUUAUUCUACUCCUAUCCGGGAGAGAAUAGCCAAAAAUAUUAUCCCAUUCCUGUUUUUCUCUGUGAAAUAAAUGCUCGAGCUAUUUUGGUUACUACCACUUGCUACAUUAUUCCAGGAGGGUGAGUGCUCUGAAAAAAAGAAGAAAAAUACGAGGAAAUAAAAAGGGGCAAGUGCUCGGAACCUCGAAAGAAAAAAGAAAAAGUGAGACGAGAGGUAAAAAUGGACAAGUGUCCGAUAGUAGAAUUAGGGGUACAAGAUACCCACCUGAGAGAAAAGAAAAAGAAAAUAUAGAGCAUCUCAUUCCUCUCAAAAACCUUCAAAGUGCAAGAAAGGUAUGUAUCCCCUCAAAAGAGCAAAAGUAGAAUUAGACUUUCACCAUUAUUUUCACCAUCAUCACCAUACACUAUUCAUCCACCACAGAUGCACAUCUUGGUUUGACUUAUUGACUUGUUUCUCUGGAUCCAUGGUUUGACUAUGCAAUAAAUGUCUUGUAAGUAUGUAUUAGUUGUCUCCCACCUAUGAGCUCCAGAUAUCAAACCUUAUUAGAGUAGGGUGAGAGAGAAGGCAAUAUCACUAUGCCUCAUACCACAAAUACUACAUACUUUGAGAGAAGGCGUAUAUUAUCACUGCCUUGGUAAGGAUCUAGAAAUACCACAAAAGAGAGACUAGAGAGAGUCAUACAAGGAAUCUCUGAGUUUUAUUUGAAAAUCUGCAAAAACUCCAGAGCUAUAGUUGAUCAAAGAACAAGAGACAUGGUGCUUGACUUGACUGUUCUAUCUUUUAACUGCUCAAGACACAAGUGACGGUUGCAAGCCCCAUCGUGAAAGCUAAUAUGAGUAAGUUUUAAAUCUUAACAAUUUACCCUAACCUAGAGAUGAGAUCUUGUUUAAACGCAUGUGUACCUUUAAGGCAUAAAACCACUGUAGAAACUCUUGAGUCCAUCCUUGCUCAGAGACGAGCAAGAGGUAAGCUUGGGGGAGUUGUUGACGGUCCUUAAGUACAAAAUAUAAUCAGUAAAUAAACAAAGAAAAUGAUCCAAAUACAACCAACAUCUAAACUUAGGGUUUUAUCUGACAGAAUUCCACGAGUUUUGGUGUUUGUCUAUUUCUGUAGGGGGUUAUCAGGAAAUAUGGAGAGAAGGCCCACACGUCGGGUUUACAUAGAGAUAUUAACGUGCCGUGCAAUUUUCUAUCAUCUAGAAGACUCCAGAAGCCACGGGAACAAACGGGAGGCCGAGCGGGCUCGGGGGCAGGGCGCCCGCCCACCCCCCUUGGGCGCCCGCCCAGCUACAGAGUCCAAUCAGGACUCUCUUCGGGGAUUACGCUCCACCAACCUAAAGGAUCAAGAAUAACCGUUCAAUCAAUGUCGGUUUGAUCCGACGGCCCAGGUUCACUUGAGGGGACUAUAUAACCAGACCCCCUGGCCCCUGGAGGAGGCACCCCUUGAUCAUUAUUUAUUAUUCAUAGACAGAGCAAAAGCUAGGGUUUAGAGAUGAGAGCUCUCCUCUCUUCUCUAAACUAGAGUAGAUCUAGAUAGUAGCGAGAUGGAGAGCGAAGGAGGAUUAGAGGAGAGGCCGGCC